Molecule: long non-coding RNA, 51232 nt
Filed under: Sorghum bicolor (sorghum)
Lineage: Eukaryota; Viridiplantae; Streptophyta; Magnoliopsida; Poales; Poaceae
Description: long non-coding RNA (SBIC_LNC004271)
Rfam family: Plant small nucleolar RNA R71 (bases 27650-27756)
Source: RNAcentral
AGUUUAAUCUCUAAAAAAAUAAAAAGACCAAAAAUAUGCAUGAUGGAAAUGAUGAACAGUUGCUCUGUUUGCUUACUUACAAGUACCUAGCUUUUAUAUUAGAAUUCUUCCAGGAAUUACUAAAACUAAAAUUACUAUCUUUGGGAAGCAUAAAACUAAAGUCUAGGUAAGAGAAAGGCAUGAUAUAAAGUUGAGCUACUGUUUAUCUUGUUUCUACUACACUAAGUUCUGGAGAUUUAUUUUGAAAACUUACAAGUCACAUGAUGAGUUCCUAGCAUAACAAACUACCUACCACAGCCAUACUUGCUAUAACAUCUUUUACUAUAUUUACAUUGAGUUUGAUCGAGCUGUGUAGACCCUUAGGAGCUUUUCAUGUGGUUAAAUUAAGAUAUUCACUUGCACACAUCUACCACAGCAUUCAUCAUCAAUCAUUAAAUUUGCUAAAAAUAUUAUCACUCACUGUCCCGAAUAUUGUUAUUCUCUCUCUCUAAAAAGAUUCAAUGCAGAAGAGGAAUGGGUUAUGCAAAAAUAUAUACGAGGAAAUAAAAAGGGGCAAGUGCCCGGGAACCUCGAAAAAGAAAGAAAAAGAGUGAGACGAGAGGUAAAAAUGGACAAGUAUCCGAAGUAGAAUUAGGGGUACAAAAAUGCCCACUUCAGCGGAAAAAAUGGACAAGUGUCCGACAGUAGAAUUAGGGGUAUCUAUUACCCACCUGAAAAAAAAGAAGAAAGAAGAAAGAAAAAGAUAGCCCAUGUUCUCCCAAAGCAAAGAUCAAAAAUAAGAGGAGAGAUAGCAAUAUGAGGAGCAAUGAGAACUAAGAUUUAUUAACACUAUUGCAUUUUCACCAUCACUAUCAUUUACUCCACCACACAUGCACAUCUUGAUUUAAUUAUAUGCUGAGUUCCUUUGGAUCCAUGGCUCGAUUAGACAACAUAUGUAUGAGCUGUUUUCCACUCCUAUGAGCUCCACUUAAAUAUUCUAUUAGCUAUAGGUAAGUGACAUUAUGGUAAGGAUCCACAAAUACCACAUAUAGAGAGACUUGAGAGAUCAUUGCUGGGAACUCUGAGUUUUAUUUUGAAAACUUAUGAAAAACUAUAGAACAAAGGUGAAGUGUUGACAAGAGGGAUAGUGCUUGACUUAACUAUUUUGUCUUUUGAUUACUUAAGAUUUAAGUGCAGGUACUAAACUCCAUAACACUUCACUCUAAUCUGGAAGAAUUUUUAUGUAAAAGCAUGUGUGCCUGUCAGGAAAGAAAACAUCGAAGCAACUCCUGAUCCGUCUAAGUUUAGCUAUUUGCUCAGGGACGAGCAAAGGGUAAGCUUGGGGGAGUUUGUUGACGGUCCUUAAGUACUAAAAUUAAUAAUCAAAUAAACAUGAAAAAGGAUCAAUAUGAAACAAACAUCUAGAAUUAGGAUUUUAUCUGACAGAAUUCCACGAGCUUUGGUGUUUAUCUAUUUCUGCAGGGGUUUAUCAGAAAAUAUGGAGAGAAGGUCCACAUGUCAUGUUUACAACGAGAUAAUUACGUGUUGCGCAAUUUUCCUCAAUCUAGAAGGAUCCAGAAGCCACGGGAACGAACGGGACGCGAAUCGGGCUCGGGAGCUGGGCGGCCGCCCACCCCCCUUGGGCGCCCGCCCUGGCCAAGAGGCCAAUCAGGACUCUGCUUCGGGGCAAGACUCCACCGACCUAAAGGAUCAAUCUAAACCAUACAAUCUAUGUCGGUUUGAUCCAAUGGCUCACGUUCACUUGAGGGGACUAUAAAACCAGACCCCCUGGCCCCUGGAGGAGGAGAGGAGAAAUCAUUAUUCAGAGGUAGCCAUCAAAGUUAGGGUUUAGAUCUCUCUCCCACAGAGAAUUAGAAUUAGCUACUCCCUAAUCCUUCAAGUUUAGAGGUUGAUUAGAUAGCAAUUAGAGAAGUAGAACACUACGCUCUGGAUUCGGAUCUUCGGUAAUAAAGAUUGGUAUUAUUCAUAUCUUUCUCUAAUUCUAUUGUUCUAAUUGCAUUAUGUCUCUAAUUAUUAUGUUCUUAGUUUGCUCUAGUUCUAUAUUUGAUAUAGUUCUAAUUGAUAAUGAGUUUAUAUAUAAGUUUGCAAAGCGCUUAGCUCUUGUCGCGAGGGAGUUAAGUGAUAGAUCACAUGUGAGCGUGGUGCUUAGAUGUUAUUUAUCUGCAAAUGUAUCCUAUUGGCCGAGUCGUGUGGUAGUUCGCGAUAGUGACAGCUUCGUUGAUUCUUAUAUAGUCCACCCUCCGUUGAUAGGACAGGCAGAACCGGUAUUGUGGAGUAAGUCAUGCGAUGUUCUGAUUUACUUUAUCAAUGUUCCUUAUACAUGAAUGAAGAGUCUUUUAUGCUAUAUAUGAUCUUGUAGAUAACUAGAGUAGAUUAUGACUUAGUAGUUAGUAGAUAACUUAGAAUCCAUUCUCUAGCUAAUCCGACAUCACCUACAUAUAUGAGGAGUAGUCUAUUUUCUAAUCGCUGUGCUAUCUACCCAUGAACUUAUACUUUAUUAUCAUUAUCUUUAUGGUUUACCCCCUGCUAAAGUAAGUGACUGUGUGACGAGUUUCUCAUUAGUAAUCAUGUUCUUGCAAGUUUAUCUCUAGUCUAUGCCUUGAUAGAUUUUGUCCCUUGAUUUAAUUCCAUCUUCUUGAGAUCCCUAGAGCAAAAUUAUAAAUAACGAUACCUGGAAUACUUAUCCUGGUGAAAUGCUACAAUGAGGUGUUUUAUCUGUGCGCUUGUGGAUAGAAUAGAUUAUUUUCUAGAGAGCCUUUACAUUUAUAAAUACCUUUGUACACUCUGGCGCCAUGCUAGGGAUGACAACCUAGUAUCUAAGUGGUGUUAGUUAGUGUCAACACAUAGCAACAUGGCAAAGGAUGUUUUUAUGUGAAGUACUCCCCCAAGCUUGAAUUUUGCAAAAUUCAAGAUUGGAUGAAUUUAAUUCAAUGUUGCAUGAUGAUUGGUUGGACAUACUUUGUGCUUGUCAUUCCUCGGAUCUUCUUGCUCCAAUCCUAGAAGGGUUAGUGACAAGAAUACCCGAAGGAAUAUUUCUACAAUUAUCUUUAUAUGCUCAAUACACAAGGCAAUGUUGUAAAUAAUUAGAAGUUCAUGUUACGAUCUGAUAAGUGCUUGUCUUAGGACACUAAGCUUGUCCUUGGGAAACCAUCAAUCAACUAAACGAGAUCUGCAAUAUUUAUUAUAGACAUAUGCAUCGACAACCGCUCUUUUAAAGUUGUUAUAAAUAGAAAGGAAGAGAGGGUUGGAGAUCUCAAAUGUGGUAAGGAUGGAGAGACCAAUUGAUUGGGGAGAUGUUUUAUAUGAGCAAGGACUUGGUAAGGUAUUUAUGAAAUAACUUCCAUGCUCACUGUUGUUUCUCUCAUUCUCAAACUCCAAGGAUGAUUCUUCAUGAAUGCUUAAAAUUCCUCUAGGAUUGUCUCUCAAGUUUGUUUUAUCUAUCCAUUCAAUGGUGAUAGAACAUGGAUUUUUAAUGCCCUCUAGCCAUUGAUGUUGCUCUUCUCGAUCCUCCUUCUUAUGCAUGGGAUGUCUAGAGAGAUUCAUAGGAUUAUCGGGAGGUUCAGGAGAAAGAGCAUAGUAGAAAUUAUUAAACUCAAGGAUGGGUUGGAUAGCCGAAUUAUGGGAUUGAAAUGUUUGGAAAUUGGCUAUUGAAACUUCCUUUCCUCGUCUGGGAGAUGAUUCCUUCUCUAUCUCUAAGAUUUUUCUAUGAAGACUAGUGCAAGAAGGAUGUCUACAAAUGAAGACAUACCUUCCUUUACUAAUAGAUAAAGAAAGAAAGACUCUACCAAAGGUUAUAUGAUUAACACCAAUGUGAAAAUAUCGAGAAAAAACAUGGUCUUGUAAGGCUAGGUUUAAACUAGAAUUUAUAGAAAGAUUAACAGAUUCCCUAGGUGUAGCUAAAAGUGCAUUAUCUUCUUGAUUAAAAGAUAGGACCUCGGCUAUAGAAAAGGGUUGUUUUGAUCUAUUGCAAUCAACUCCGGACUCAGAUCAUAAUUAGGGGCAGGACUUGUUGACUCCCAUGGUCUAUGGCUGGUCUCCGAAGGUGCAAAGAAUUCAAUAAUAGGUAUGGAAUUUAAGUUAUCCAUAAAGAUAAAAAGAUAAAAGAAUAAAAGUAUAAAAGUAUAAUACAAGAUAAUAGCAAGACUCAAAGUUAUCUUAGCAAACCGUCUUUCUUCCCGGCAACGGCGCCAGAAAUGCUUGUUGAUAUUUGGUAACGCAAUCAGGAAAUGAUCCGCAAGCGCACGGAUAUCGGUGAGCAUUUCACCCGGGAGGUUUUCCAGAGUAUCGUAUUUAUAUUUUUACCACUGGGAGAAAGGGUGCAUCUAACAAACCAAAUCUAUUGCUACUAUCCCUUUAGGCUACAAAGAAUGUUUCUCGAUGUGAGUGAUGUAUAGAGAAGACUGCAACCGUAGUCUCAUUCUAACCUUGGUAAGGAUGAUCUACUGUUCUAUUGGGGAAGCUUACGGAAUCUAGACACCACAAAGGAUGUUCGACCCGCACCUAUAAACCCUACCCGUCCUGCUAACAAGAUAUGAGAUAUAAAGGUAACUCGGAAAUGUCACGUUCCUCGCUACUACCAUGGUCCAGCUAGUCACGGGAUAUCUAUGAGUACCCUAGCCUAAACACCACGUUUACGCUAUCAAUGAUUACUCUAAUACUCAACCGAAAGAGGAUUAAAGUAAACUCAUAAACCAAAGAACAAUAAAACAAGAACUUACUAGAAUUAGAAGUCGAAUUACUGAAGAAUCUUAGAAGCAAGCCUCGGGUUAGGAGACUUGAUCCCGCAGGUACAACUCGGAGUAGACACCGACAGGCCGGCCUUCCUCCAAUCUACACCUCCACUCUAUCUCUCUCAAUCUAGUAGAAACUAGAAGAUCUAUUUCUACUUACAUUGGUUGCUAAGCCUAAAAAGAAAUAUUAUUUAGAGAAGAGGUUUUCCUUCGAGGGCACCCCUCAACUCUAUGAUAACUUCUUGUCUUCUCCAGGGGCCAGGGGGGCCUCCUUAUAUAGUCCUCCUCCUCUAUGCGUUUUUGGGUCGGUAGGCGAUGUGGUACUACGUUAUCCUUGAUCCUUUAGGUCGGUGGAACGUCGUGUGCGAAAAGAGUCCCGAACGGAGUCCAGGUCUGGACGGGCGCCCUGGGAAGGAGGGCUGGCGCCCUGGGCCUGGCCCCUUUCGGCCUCUGCUUUCUUCCCGUGGCUUCUGGAGUCUUCUAAAUGGUAGAAAAUUGUGCGGUGCGUUGAUAUCUCUAUGUAAUCCUGACAUGUGGGCCUUUCUUCCGUAUUUCCUGAUAACCCCCUGCAGAAAUAGACAAACACCAAAACUCGUGAAAUUCUAUCAGAUAAAACCCUAAGUCUGGGUGUUGGUUGCAUUUGGAUCCUUUUCUUUAUUUAUUUGAUGAUUAUAUUUGGUACUUAAGGACCGUCAACAUAUGUCACAUUUGAGAAAGAUAAGUUAUGUAGUGCAUGUCAAGCCAGAAAGCAAGUUGGUAACACACAUCCUAAGAAGAGAUCAUGAGCACAUCUAAGGCAUUUGAGUUAUUGCACAUGGAUUUAUUUGGACCAACAACAUACACUAGUAUUGGUGGAAACAAAUAUGGCUUUGUGAUAGUGGAUGAUUUUACAAGAUAUACAUGGGUAUUCUUUCUUGUUGACAAGAGUGAUAUUUUUGCAACUUUCAAAUCAUUUGCCAAGAGAGUUCAUAAUGGGUUUAAAACAACCAUCAAGAGAGUGAGAAGUGACAAUGGUAGUGAGUUCAAAAAUACAAGAAUUGAUGAGUUAUGUAGUGAGUUUGGCAUUAGGCAUCAAUUCUCGGCCAAGUAUACUCCACAAUCAAAUGGCCUUGUUGAGAGGAAGAAUAGAACUUUGAUUGUUAUGGCAAGGUCUAUGCUUAGUGAAUACAAUGUUAGUCAUUCUUUUUGGGCCGAGGCAAUCAACAUAACUUACUACUAUAGCAACCACCUAUAUUGUCAUCCUAUGUUGGAGAAAACCCCAUAUGAGAUCUUGAAUGGUAGAAAACCAAAUAUUGCAUACUUUCGGGUUUUUGGUUGCAUAUGCUAUAUAUUGAAGAAAGGCACUAGAUUGAGCAAAUUCGAGAAGAAAUGUGAUGAAGGAUUUUUGCUUGGUUACUCCACUACUAGCAAGGCUUAUAGAGUUUGGAAUUUGGCUAAUGGUACUCUUGAGGAAGUUCAUGAUGUGGAAUUGAUGAAACAAAUAGUUCCCAAGAUGAAGAUGAGAAUUUAGAUGAUGUGAGAGGCACUCAAUUAGUCAAUGCCAUGAAGAACAUGGAUGUUGGUGAUAUAAGGCCCAGAGAGGUGAUUGAUGGUGAAGAUGACAAAAAUCAAGUGCUCUCUAACUCAAAUGUGCAAGCUAGUGGUUCUCAUGAUAUAUCUCAAGCUAGUACAUGUGGUGUUCAAGUGAAAGAUCAACAAGUGGCUAGUUCAUCAUCUCAACCAAAUGAUCAACCAAGUGCAAGCAAUCACGUUCAAAUAAUCUAACCAACCAACAUUGCAAGAGAUCAUCCAUUAGAUCAUAUUAUAGGUGAUAUAUCAAGAGGUGUGCAAACUAGAUCAAGAUUGACAUCAUUUUGUGAACAUUUCUCAUUUGUAUCAUCCAUUGAACCAAAAAAAUAGAAGAAGCUUUGAGGGAUGUUGAUUGGGUAAAUGCUAUGCAUGAAGAGCUAAACAAUUUUACUAGAAAUCAAGUAUGGGAGUUAGUAGAGAGGCCUAAGGAUCAUAAUGUGAUUGGAACCAAAUGGGUCUUUCAAAACAAGCAAGAUCAAGAUGGGAUAGUGAUAAGGAACAAAGCAAGAUUAGUAGCACAAGGAUACACACAAAUUGAAAGUCUUAACUUUGGUGAAACAUAUGCCCCGCUUGCUAGAUUGGAAGCAAUUAGAAUCUUGUUAUCCUAUGCUUGUGCUCACAAUAUCAAGCUAUAUCAAAUGGAUGUGAAGAGUGCAUUCUUAAAUGGAUAUAUAAAUGAGUUGGUUUAUGUUGAGCAACCUCCCAACCAUGUUUACAAGUUGAAGAAAGCUUUGUAUGGUUUGAAACAAGCACCUAGAGCAUGGUAUGAGAGGUUGUUGACGGUCGAUAAUGUCAACUUUUACUAUAACUUUAAACCUGAAGGAGAGCAUGAAUACACACUAGUAUAGGGUUUAAACUAACAAUUUUCACGAGUUUUGUAUAUUCUGUAUUUUCGAGGAUGAAUUUCAGGAAAGGAGAAAAAGAGGGACUCUAGUGCAAAACAAAGACGGAAACGUAUCCGCCAUGGGAAACAGCGCAAGAGGAUUUAGGAACACUCUAUAAGACACCCGACACGAGGGGGGAGCCACCGACCGCCAGGUGGGGCCGGUCGGCCCCACCCUAGCAUCGGCCGCCCCCCUGUUGCUAGGGUUCACUCCCCCUUCUGGAAACUUCCUCCACCGCCUUUGAGGAGUCAUCUGGGCCCUUGGUUAAGUUGGUUUGAUCCGACGGUGCACACGAAUUCCACCAGACUAUAAAUACGUGAGUAGACCCCCUGGAGAGAGGACCUCAUUAUUCAUCAAGGCCUCAAGCCAUCAAGCAUCAAGCGCCUUCAAGGUCAUCAAGAGCAUUCUAGUUCAUAGUUCUAGUUAGAUUAGAAGUAGAGGAGAUCUAGUUCUUCAUCGGGAUCUGGAGCCCCUGGCGUCGGUCUGGAGCGCAACAGUUUAGUAAUAGAUCUAGUUCUUACUUUAUAGUAUUCAAUUGUAUAUUAGGGAGACUUUAUUCUUAAUAGAUUCAUAUGUUCUUAAUUACAUUAGUCAUUGUCUACUUUGAUUAUAUGUCUAGGAUAGUUGGUUUGAUCUUAUUGAAUUCAUGUAAUUGCUCGUAUAGCGUUUACGUAAUCGAUCGUUGGGUAGAUGAUAGACAAUAUGUAGACGUGGUGUCUAGAUAUCUUGUUUGUCUGUGAGUGCCCUCUGACGUGCCGGGUCGUGUGGUAGUCCGCGUAGGUAAUAGCUGUGUUGGUUUCUCUAUAGUCCACCCUCCGUACGUAGGGCUAGCAUGGGCACGGUCGCAAAGGAGGUGACGGUUGCGUCUUAAAACCCUCAUUAGUUGAUGCCUCUUUACAUGUAAUUAUGAUAUAGGGUUGACUUAACAAUGAUUUCUAGAUGUUAUUUAUUGUUGUAGUUAUAGAAUUACCUUAGACUCAACUUCCUAGUUUAUCUAUUGGCAAACUAUUAUUAUGACUAGUAGAUGCUCUGAUGAUUAUCCUUAUUUAUGAUACUUGAUGAUUUUGGUAUCACUAUUAUUUAUCUAUAUUUAUCUUAUGACCUCUGCCUGUUAUGAGUAGAUAUUAUAGGACUUGGGUAAUAUUAUUCAUCCUAUAUAGUUUCUUAUCAAUAUAAUAGAUGUAGUUUAACCCUUAGCCUUCCCAGUGGUAUAAAUAUAAAUCGACAACCUAGAUACUUCCCUAGGUAAAAUGCUACAACGGUAUAAUUAUCUGUCCGCUUGCAGAAGCCAUUUAGUUUAUAAUUAUAUUCAUAAUUGUUAUUCUCGUCUUUACAGUGGAACAUGUGAAUCUAUAUUAAAUUCCUAGCAAUAUAAUUAGGGAUGACAACCUACUUUGUGCUUAGGAAUAUUUGAGUGGUUAGUUGCUAUUUGAUAAGUUAAUUAAAUAUCGUGCAUUUCUGGUGUUGUUAUUAGGAGUAGGGUUUAUCUCUAUUUUUACUGAUGACAGUAGUAAAUUUCAACAUAAGGGAUUUCCUACUCUCUAAAGGAUUUAUUAUGGGUAAGGUUGACACCACUCUCUUCACUAAAAAGAUAGGAAAGGACUUGUUUGUGUUGCAAAUCUAUGUUGAUAAUAUUAUAUUUGGAUCAACCAAUCAAGAAUUUUGUAAAUAAUUUGGAAAUGUGAUGGCAAAUGAGUUUGAGAUAUCCAUGAUUGGAGAGCUUAGUUACUUCCUUGGUCUUCAAAUCAAGCAAAUGAAGAAUGGCACAUUUGUGAGUCAAGGCAAGUGCAUCAAAGACAUGCUCAAGAAGUUUGGCAUGGAUGAUGCAAAGUCAAUUAGCACACUUAUGGGAACUAAUGGAAACUUGGAUAGUGAUGCUAGUGGCAACAUGGUGGCUCAAAAGUUGUAUCGAUCUAUGAUUGGAAGCAUAUGUUGAUAUUUGGGAACGCAAUAAGGAAUUGAUCCGCAAGCGCACGGAUAUCGGUGAGCACUUCACCCGGGAGGUUAUCCAGAGUAUCGUAUUUAUUUUUUUACCACUAGGAGAAAGAGUGCAUCUGACUAACCCGGUCUAUUACUACUAACCCUUUAGGCAACAAAGAAUGUUUCUCGAUGUGAGUGAUAAAUAGAGAAGACUACAACCGUAAUCUACUGUUCUAUUGGGGAGGCUAACAGAAUCUAGACACCACAAAGGAUGUUCAACCCACACCUAUAAACCCUAUCCUUCCUGCUAAUGAGAUAUGGUCUGCAAAGGUAACUCGGAAAUGUCACGUUCCUCGCUACUACCACGGUCUAGCUAGUCAGGGAAUAUCUAUGAGUAUCCUAGCUUAAACACCAUGUCUACACUAGAGAUGAUUACUCUAAACUCUACGCGAAGAGAUUAAAGUAAACUCAUAAACCAAAAGAACAAUAAAACAAGAACUUACUAGAAUUUAGAAGUCGAAAUACUGAAGAAUCCUAGGAGCAAGCCUCGGGUUAGGAGAACUUGAUCCCGCAGGUACAAGCUUGGGGUAGACACCGACAGGCCGGGCUUCCUUCAAUCUACACCUCCACUCUAUCUCUCUCCAUCUAGUAGAAACUAGAAGAUCUAUUUCUACUUACAUUGGUUGCUAAGCCUAAAAAGAAAUUUUAUUUAGAGAAGAGGUUUUCCUUCGAGGGCUCCCCUCAACUCUAUGAUAAACUUGUCUCCUCCAGGGGCCAGGGGGUCUGGUUUUAUAGUCCCCUCAAGUCAACGUGAGCCAUUGGAUCAAACCGACAUUGAUUGGACGGUUAUCCUUGAUCCUUUAGGUCGGUGGAGCGUCGUGUGCGAAAAGAGUCCCGAACGGAGUACAGAGGGGGGCGGGCGCCUAGGUCCUCAGGGCGGGCGCCCUGGGCCUGGCCCCUUUCGGCCUCUGCUUCGUUCUCGUGGCUUCUGGAGUCUUCUAGAUGGUAGAAAAUUGUGCGUUGCGUUGAUAUCGGGCCUUUCUUCCUUAUUUCCUGAUAACCCCCUGUAGAAAUAGAUAAACAACAAAACUCGUGGAAUUCUGUCAGAUCAAACCCUAAUUCUAGGUGUUGUUUGUAUAUUGGUCCUUUCUCUUGUUUAUUUGAUAAUUAAAAUUGAUACUUAAGAACCGUCAACAAAUACCCCCAUACUUAGGCUUUUACUCGUCCUCGAGAAAAGGAUGGUUAAGAACAAUAUCUGGGGUAAAACAUUUUCUUUAUAUUUGCAGGGUGUUAAAAUCCACUGUGUACUGUAGUCAGGGAAGUAUAUGGUUAAGAGUAGAGAUCCUUUCUUCUCAAUCCUGUCACUUGAAGUUUUUGUAUAUUUUUGAAAGAAAGUUAGCAUACCUUUUAUCCUCAUAGGUCUUCUCAGAUCACUCAUUAUCUUUUAUAUCACUGAUGCUGUUUUAAUUUGCAAAAAUUUUCAAGCAUACUUACCUUGUAUUGCCUGAUCAAAACGGGAUCCGAGGAGGGGAAUGUCAUACUCUUAGAUCAAAGACUUUGAAAAUUAAAAUCUUUGUCAACUCUUGCUGGCAUAUUGCUUAUUAGAGGGACCAUGGGCUAUCAUUUUCUUUUUCUUCUCUCUUUUUUUUAAAUGGAUACCGAGGUAUCCCUAAUUCUACUGCCGGACACUUGUCCAUUUUUUCUGCGAGGUUAUCGAGCACUUGCUCCUUUUUAUUUCCUCGAAAUAUCUUUAUUUUUGCAUAGCCCAUGCCUCUAAUGCAAUAAUACUUCGGAAGAGUGAAUCUUUCUGAAUAAAUGUCUUGAUCUUAGGAGCAUGAUAAAUCUCUCAACAAGGGUCUAACUCAUUUUGAACAAACUCAAUACAGAGUAGAUAACUUUUAUAAUCAUAAUUAAUAUUUUCAGUUUUAUCAGGCAUAUAAAACACUGAGGAUGGUAGCUAGAGUUUUGAAGAUUUUGAAAUAAAUUCUCCAAGUAACAAUGAUAUCAAGAAACUCAUACUCUACCAUCUCACAUUCCACACUAACUUAAGCAGCACAGGGUUUUAAAAUGAUUUUAUAAUAGUUGCAAGUUUUCAGGAAAUAUCACAGAGUGAGAUUAAUCAUAUUUAAAAGAAACAUUUUAAAUUUAUCAUGUCGGAAACAAUAUUCUGCAUAAUCCAAGAUAUGUGUAUCUGUAAAGUAAAGUGCGCAGAGUAUGUACCUGAAUCGUGGAGUGGUGUAGUCGAAGUAUGUUUGGCGUGUUGAGGGAUCUCCCCCAUACUUGUUUUCUGCUUUCUUGCACAAAAAAAAUAAAGUAGAGACACACAAGACAUAAUAAUAAUAAUACUCUUUAUUAACCUUGAGGCAUUUAUUACAAAUAACUAGUAGCAAACUGACGACAGUAGUAACAAACUGAUGAUAAUAGCAAACCUAAACCGAAUUUAAAGAUAGAUAACUAAGAUGCAUUGCCUCAAGGUCUAAUCUAGAUAACUUAGCGGCGCUCUAAUUCCUUAAUCUUCUUGUUGGCACUGGCAAGAUCCUGCCUGAGGCCUAGUAUAAUGGUGUUGUGGUUAGAGAGCUGCCUAGUGAGGGAAUUAAUCGAGGACUGGAGGUCUAUGAUAACUCUGUCUAGCCUGCAAACGUCCUCAUCAAUGUCUACUAUAGUCUUGCGACACUUGGGAGGUGUCUCAAAAGCAUUGAGAGCGUGCUUCGGGGCUGCCUUUGGAGGGAUGAAACAGACUUUGGCUGCUCUAAUCCCUUCGAAAUAAGGUCUUUCCUCCUCCAUAGUGUAGCGUAUGCUGCUGAUCUCACCGCUCCGGUUGGUCUUGACUCCAACGACCCUCUCAUUGAGUCUAGGUGGAAGGUUCCUCGUGCCGGUUGGCACCUUGAUGGUGAUCUUCUUCUUGGAUGAUGAUCCUUUGAGGAGUAGGAGUUGUGGUGGCGCGGUGAGAACUGGUUGAGCAUGGUAGGAUUGGGCGGAGCUGCCUUGGCGUAAUGGCAUGGCUUCUAGCUGUCGCUCUGUGUUGGCCGGGACGAGAGCACGGGCGUCGGGGUCUUCCACAGGCUCCAUGUUGAGGUUGAAGGGCACGACUUCCCAAUCAUCGUGGAACUUCUCGGCCAUUGGAGCAGCAAGGAACUAAUCAAGCUCUAAUUGAAGAAGAAGAGAAGGCUUGGUGGUUUGGUGUUUGAAAACUGAUGUCAGGGGUCUCUUUAUAUAGGGGUCAAAAAGUGCCGCUAGGGGUUGUUCGGGUUGCUCCCAUCGAUGUGUGUGCGAAACUUUCCAUCUGAGGGAUUAUUCGGAUUACCAUAAGUGCAUUUUUCAUAACAGAGAAAAUCGGGACCGAGGGGGAACAGGAGCUGGGCGCCCGCCCACCUGUAACACCCCAAAUUUUGCAAUUUUCCAAAAUAGGAUGAAUUGUUAAUUUGUGUAUUUUUGUGCCCAUGAAAUAUAGGAAAAAUAAUAUUUUUAUUUCAAUUAAAAUUUACUAUAGGAGUUAGCAACUUGUUUGAGCAUGCAUGCCUAUGCAUUUGAUUUAUUUUGAUGAGUGGGUUUGACUAAACCUUAAAAAAAAGAAUUCAAAUUUGGUUUUGAAAUGUGUUUUGUUUUAAAAGAAAAGGGAAACAGAAAAUAGAAAGGAAAAGAAUUUAUCUCUCUCUCACUGCUCUUGGGCUCGGCCCAUUCUUUUUUUUCCCCCACGGCCUGCUUUCCCCUUCCCCCUUUCUCCUCUUUGCUCCGGCCCAGCGCCAGCUCGGCCCGCCUCACGGCCCAGGAGGACUACCAGCGCCGCGCACCUCCUCUCCCUUCGCCGCAGCGGAUGACAGGCCGACCCCGCGCUUCCGUGUCACCGACAGGUGGGGCCCAGUGGUCAGGGUUGUCUCCCACCUUGAGUCCGAGCCGGACACGACCGAGCGCAACCAAAUCGCGCGCAUUUCGCGCGAGCAGUCCCUUCUCCGCCUGCCUCUCCCCCUUUAUAUACUCGCCCCGAUGCCCGCAACCCUCUAUCUUCGCCCGAGCACCAGCCGCCGCGUUCAAGCUCGCUAAAUCGCUGCCGAGAUCCACGUCGCAGCCAAUCCGCCAUUGUAGCGCGUCCCAAGCCUUGUGAGCGACUUGCCGGCCUUCUUCUCCGUCGUGCGAAGUCGCCGGAACCUUCCUUUCAUGCUCUACUGCUUCGUGUUUGUCGCUAAUGUUCGCCGAACCUUGUUCCAGGGUCGCCGUCCGCCGUUUGCCGUCGCGAGCUCGAGUCGGGCGUCCUCGGCUCCAAUCUUGGCCACCGGUGAGUUCGCGCCGAGUUUAUAAACGCUCCCGCACUUUUGGUUCACGUUCUAGCGCUCCAGGUCGCUCGAUUGAGCAACUCCGGCCAUGCGCAGCCAUGGCGCCGCCGCGGCCGACCUCAACUCCGGCGGCCGCUCCCCUCUCAUCCCCCCCGAUCUAAUCUCAACCAUCCAAAUGCGAUCCAACGGUCUAUAUCAAAGCAUACCCCUUCGGCCGAUAAUUUUUCAGAAAACCCCCCGUGCUUUUUAAAGAGUUAACCCGCAGUCCAAGCGCCUUUUUCAAAAUACGUUUUCUCAAUUGGAUUACGUAUAUCCGAUCGGUUGAAUUCAAAAUACGUUUUCAGGAAAUUACAAGUUUGCCACUGGAUUUGUUUUAUUCUUAAAAUAUUCAUCUUAAUUCCGUUUUGACUCGUUCAAAUUGCGUUGGUUUUGUAUUCAAAAGAUCUACAUGUUAGUAACACUGUUAUCUUAGUUUGAAAGUUUUUAAUUCCGUGACUCAAAUUAAUUAAUUGUUUUUCUAAAGAAAAUCUUAGAAAAUUCAUAUAUUCUUCGUUUUGACUCCGAUUUAAUCCGUUCAAGUUGCGUUAGACUCGUUUUCGCGUAAACUAUAGUCUCGUGCUACUGUAGUACAAGUUUUCAACUUUUUAAAUCUGAGUUUAGAUUUAAUCUAUUAUUUUAUUAAAGAAAAUCUUAGGAAAAUCAUAACUUCUUCGUUAUAGCUUCGAUUUUCGUGAUCUUUACAUCUGUGUGAUCGUAGAGCGAUGUAGAUUUGUUUUAUAAACUUUUUAUCUUUAUUUUCUACUGUUGGUGUAUUGUUCUAAUUAUAGGUUUGUUUUGCUUUGUAUGAUUGCCUCUCGAUGAUUGUUGUUGACGUGAUGACUGAGUUUAGUCAGUGAGCUUUUACGUGGUGAUCAAGAAGCAGUUUGUGGAAGGUUUGGAACUAAAAGAAGGAUCUGAGUUUCAAGGCAAGUAUAGCAUGGGAUCAUCCUUGUUUCCUAAUAACUUUAAUCACACAAUUCAUAUUGCAUGUUUCUCCUUGCUAAGGAUUUCCUAGAAUUGAUCUUAUACCUUGUCACCUAUGGUUUUGCAUUGGGUAGCUUAUGCUAGUGCUCCACUAAACCAUGAUCUUGUAAUUUGACUAAUAGAAUAUGCAAUAAACAUUAAAAGAUGACUUUUUAGCAACGUUGGAAAAAGAGGGCUGGAGCAUUGGGCUAUCUUAUGGUGCUCUAGUUUCUCUCCAUAAGGACUUAUCUGUAUCUGACCAUCCGGGACAUACAGUACAACUGUGAGGGCUACAUGGCUCUGGCUUUAGCUCAGUAUGAGGACCUUUUCUAGCUUGUUAGUGGUUACCCUUGUGGCGCAAGUGGGGGAUAGCAGACCGUGGAUUCCUGCGGGUGAGUCACACGGACUGACUAACGAAACCUAGCGGCCCUAACUUGUUAGACGAACCUUUGAAAGGCUUCAUAGUGAACCCUGCCGGCCUCCCUAGGAAGGGUGUUAAGAGACUCGCGACCUCGGGCGAAAGGGUAAAUCAUGACUCACAGUGAAAGUGUACAACCUCUGCAGAGUGUAAAACUGAUAUAUCAGCCGUGCUCACGGUCACGAGCGGCCUUGGACCAAUACAGAAUAAAUGAUAACGAAUGGCAAAUUAUUAAAGUUGUUGUUGUUAAUAAAUUGUUUAUGCUAUUCUUUAUUCACUUUACUUGAUCAUGAGUUUACUUUGGGAUUUGACAACUUGAUGCUACUCAUAUGCUAAAAUUGUGACAACUAAAAGCUACAUGCAGUUCAACCAGUGUCUAGCCUUUGAGCCUCAUGAACCCCAUGUUAUUCUUGCUGAGUACGAGAUGUACUUACGCUUGCCUUUACAUUUUAUUUGGAUAAAAAUCCCGGAUGGGUACCAGAUUGCAAGCUUGGAAAAGAGUUUAGGCUUGUGCUCAACCAGUCAGUUGUCCCUGUGGAUUUCGAGCUUUCGCCUGAAGAACGGAGUGUCUUUCCGCUAUUUGCUAUCUAAGGUUAUGUCUUUUAUAUUAAGUUCGUUAUAUAUAAGCAUUGUCUAUUGAUAUUACCCCUAUUUGUGGCUAUAUGUGAGAUUUGACUUCCUGGGCUCACAUAUGGUGUGUAUCUGGUUUUGUUCUUAAAACCGGGUGCUACACCACCUGAUCUGGGCGCCCGCCCUCUCUCUGGCCCCUCUGUGGGCCCUCUUUCUCGAGCGCGUUUCUAGAUGCAAAAAUAUUUAGGAAAAUAUAUGUAUGACCCGAAAGCGUCAGACUAAAAAGGUCGGGCUCUAAUUCUCCAUGGGAAGGUAAAAAUGGACUACGUCUAUUUCUUCUAAUUCUUUAAUUGGGCUCUAAAAAUAAUUUAAGACGUUGACCAUUUACCUUGAAUAACGUACCUUCGUCAUUUUGAAGUGUGAUAGCUUCGUGGGAUGAUGAAUUGAUUACCUUGAAUGGUCCUUCCCAUUUGCUCCGGAGUUUUCCAUGCCCGAAAAGCUUCACCCUGGAAUUAAAAAGUAAUACCUUAUCUCCGGGUGUGAACUCCUUCUUCUUGAUUCUCUUGUCAUGCCACCUUUUGACUCUUUCUUUGUAGAUCUUCGAAUUGUGAUAUGCUUUCUCUCGCCAUACUUCCAAUUCUGAUAGUUGCAUUCUUCUAUGAUCUCCAGCGACAUCUAGGUCCAUAUUCCAUCUCUUUAUGGCCCAGUGUGCUUUGAACUCUAGUUCAACAGGUAGGUGGUAAGUCUUCCCGUACACCAAUUGGUAUGGAGACAUUCCAAUUGGGGUCUUGUAUGCUGUCCGGUAUGCCCAGAGUGCAUCGGGUAACUUGUCUUUCCAUGCUGUUCCCAUUUCAUUUACUGUUGAAGAAUAUUUUUGAUUUGUUUGUUGGAAGUCUCUGCUUGGCCACUUGUCUGAGGAUGAUAGGGGGUAGCGACGUUGUGACGGAUUCCAUGUUUUGAUAGAUAUUGCUUGAAGCUUUUAUCGAUGAAGUGUGCUCCUCCAUCACUUAUCACUACUCUGGGGACUCCAAAUCUUGGAAAUAUAAUUUCUUCAAACAUCCUCUUUGAACUGAUGUUGUCGGCAUGCUUGCAAGGUAAUGCCUCUACCCACUUGGAGACGUAGUCAACUGCCACCAAGAUGUACUCACACUUCUUUGAUGGGGGAAAUAGACCCAUAUAGUCUAUUCCCCAGACAUCAAAGAGCUCAAUCUGAAGGUUGUUGGUGAGUGGCAUUGCAUCCCUUGUAUUUAUGUUUCCGUGCCUUUGACAUGGCCCACAUCUUCUGAUAUAUUGCUUCGUGUCUUCAUACAUUGUAGGCCAGUAGAAUCCACACUGCCAGAUCUUUGAAUGUGUACGGAAUGCUCCAUAAUGACCUCCAUAUGGUGAGGAAUGACAUCUGUCGAUGAUCUUCCAUCCUUCCUCAGUGGUCACACAUCUCCUGAGUAAGCCAUCAGAGCAUACUCGAAAGAGGUAUGGCUCAUCCCAUAUAUGUGAACGACUUUCUUGAAUAAGCUUCUUCUUGUUUGCUCCUGGUGGUACAUACCCUGAAACCAUAAAAUUAACAAUAUCUGCAUACCAGGGGUCAGACCUGUUAAUCCCGUAGAGCAUGUCGUCCCGGAUUGAAUCAUUGAUGGGGGUUUCCUGUGGACUCUUAAAAUACAUUCUAGACAAGUGAUCAACAACAGAAUUUUCUACUCCCUUUUUAUCUUUUAUUUCUAAGUCAAAUUCUUGGAGUAAUAAGAUCCAUCUAAUCAGGCGAGGUUUAGCAUCUUUUUUAGUGAGCAAAUAUUUUAGUGCAGCAUGAUCAGUGUAAACAAUUAUUUUAGCUCCAACUAAAUAAGAUCUAAAUUUAUCAAUGGCAAAGACAACAGCCAGAAGCUCUUUUUCAGUGGUUGCAUAAUUAAGUUGAGCUCCUGUCAAAGUUUUACUGGCAUAAGCAAUUGCAUGAUGCUUCUUAUUUUUAGUUUGUCCCAAUAAUGCCCCCACAGCAUAAUCACUAGCAUCACACAUAAUUUCAAAAGGCAAUGACCAAUCAGGGGGUUGAAUGAUUGGUGCAGAGAUGAGUGCUUUCUUUAAUAAAUUAAAAGGUGUUAGACAUGCACCAUCAAAUUCGAAAGGAGCAUCCUUGGCGAGCAAAAGAGUAAGUGGUCUAGAAAUAAAUGAAAAAUCUUUUAUGAAUCUACGAUAAAAACCAGCAUGGCCAAGAAAGCUUCAAAUUCCUUUUAUGUUCACAGGUGGAGGUAGUUGUUCAAUUACUUCAAUUUUAGCUUUGUCUACCUCAAUACCUCUUUCCGACACUAGGUGUCCCAGCACUAUUCCUUCCCUAACCAUAAAAUGACAUUUUUCCCAAUUAAGGACUAAGUGCUUUUCUUCACAUCUUUGCAAAACCUUGUCUAAGUUUUCAAGAUAACUAUCAAAAGUUUUUCCAUAAACAGAGAAAUCAUUCAUGAAAACUUCCAUAAUCUCUUCAAUCAUAUCAGAAAAUAUAGACAUCAUGCAUCUUUGAAAAGAAGCUGGUGCAUUACAUAACCCAAAAGACAUUCUACGGUAAGCAUAAGUUCCAUAUGGGCAUGUAAAAGUGGUUUUGCUUUGAUCAUUGGGAUGGAUCGGGAUUUGGCGAUACCCUGAAUAUCCAUCUUAGAAAUAGAAGAACGAAUGGUUUGCUAACCGCUCUAGCAUCUCAUCUAUGAAAGGUAAAGGAAAAUGAUCCUUUCUCGUGGCUUUGUUUAGUUUUCUAUAGUCUAUGCACAUCCGCCAUCCUGUGACGGUGCGUUGCAGAAUUAGCUCGUUCUUUUCAUUCAUAAUAACAGUCAUGCCUCUCUUUUUGGGCACAACUUGAACUGGGCUUACCCACUCACUGUGCGGCACAGGAUAUAUAAUCCCUACAUGCAGCAACUUUAUAACUUCCUUUUUAACUACCUCUCUUAUAGUGUUGUUAAGUCUACGUUGGGGUUCUCGAGAAGGUGAAACAGAAGGAUCUAUUGGAAUACGAUGGGUACAAAUCGUAGGACUGAUUCCCGAAAACUGAGUGAUGUUUCUCAAGAAUGGUCAUCAAUCGCAGAGUUUGCUCCUGAGUGAGUUUAUUGCUAAUGAUCACAGGAAACUCUGGAUUAUUGUUUAGGAAAGCAUAGAUAAGACCGGGUGGUAAAGUUUUAUGCUCUAUGAGGGGUCUAGGUGUUUCUGCAAACUCAUCUAAGGGUUCAGGUUUAGAAGGUUCGGCUUCUUCUUCUAUGAAGAAAGGAGUUUCGUCUUCUAAGUCUGAUUCUUCUAAAAGCUCAAGAGAUGCAGCCUUUACCUCCUCCAUAGGAUCAGGCAAAAGAUAUGACUCGGCCUUAUUGUUUAAGGAGUGCGAAAUUGUUAUUGGGAAUUUAAAGGCUUUUCCAAAAGAAAUGUGUAGCUUUCCAUUAUGACCUUCAUAAAGGAGUCUUCUAAAAGGUUGUCCUAUCAACAGGUCGAAGUCCCAUGUAUCAAAGAUAUAGAAGUUCAAAUGAACCAUGGAGCCUUCUACCGUAAGAGGUAGGACAUUAAUAAUUCCAAGACUGGGGACUAAUCGUCCUGAAGAUUCCUUUAUGACUUUUGUUGUGGGGGUUAAGACAAGAUUUUUAAAUAGUUUAAGUGCAAAAGAUUUAGACAUGAUGUUGAUCCCCACAACAGGAUUAUAAAGAGCAUUAAAUCGAUCAGAAUUAUAAGCACAGCGUAUAGUUAUAGAGGGUGUGUCCAAACGGAUCACAUCAGAAGAAAGCUCUGAUUCCUCCAACCACUCGCUACUCAUGACUGAGAUAAGCUCUCUCAAUUGAUAUUCACUUGGCAAAUAAAUGCUAAUCUGGCCAUUUUGGGGUUUAUCAAUAGAAUGGUAGUUUGAAAUGUUUCCAAAAUUGGCAAAAAGAUCGGAUUCUAUAUCCAGCAUAAAGUCCAGUGGUGGAAUUUCUUCCUCUUGUGGCUCAGAACUUGGGAUAGCUAAAGUAGAUGAAGAAUUUGACAGAGUGUCUACUUCGGCUUCGUAGGUUUCAUCAUGAAGGGUAUUAUCCAUCUCAGCUUCUAGGAUUCUAUCUAGGAUCACUCUAGCUUCAUCAGUAGGGAUGCGAAAGAAAGAACCUCUAGACAUUGUGUGUAGCAUUUGUUUGUGAUUUUUUUGAAGACCUCGAAAAAAGUGAAAUAAAAGAACAGGGUCUUCAAGAUUAAGGUUUGGACCAGAUUCUAAAAGAUCAGAAAAACGUUUCUAGGAUUUUCCCAAAGUUUCAUUAUCUUUUUGUUUAAAAGAUAGGACUUCGAGUCUAAGGUCGCCGAUACGGUCGAGGGAAUAAAAAUCUAGACAAAAGUUGGCUCGUAAAACUCCCCAUUCACCUCGUUGUUGACUUACCUUCUGACUGUACCAUUGUCUAGCUUCUCCCCUUAAGGAAAAAGUAAAAAGCUUCCAACGUAAAGUUUUAUCAGAAAUGCCUUCAAUGCGAAGACAAUCACAUGUUUGCUCAAAAUCUCUAAUAUGAAAGUAAGGGUUUUCGUCUUCCUUUCCCAAAAAAGAUAGGUUUUGAAUCAUAGCAAUCAACCUAGAACUUAACCUUUACUGGGAUGUUUGGAUAGGCUGUGAUGACUCCCAUGGUAAAAGGUCAGUUACUGAAGGGAUUGCAGAUUCAUGGAUCGAUUUAGAAUUUUGGUUUUCCAUAAGGUAAGAAUAAAGAAAAUAAGCAAAGAAUAUAAAAGAUAAGAAAAUAUAAAAGUAUAGAUACAAGCUAGUAGUAAGACUCAAGGUUAUCUCAGCAAACCGUCUUUCUCCCCGACAACGGUUCCAGAAAUGCUUGUUGAUAUUUGGGAACGCAAUAAGGAAUUGAUCCGCAAGCGCACGGAUAUCGGUGAGCACUUCACCUGGGAGGUUAUCCAGAGUAUCGUAUUUAUUUUUUUACCACUAGGAGAAAGAGUGCAUCUGACUAACUCGGUCUAUUACUACUAACCCUUUAGGCAACAAAGAAUGUUUCUCGAUGUGAGUGAUAAAUAUAGAAGACCACAACCGUAAUCUCCUUCUACCCUUGGUAAGGAUGAUCUACUGUUCUAUUGGGGAGGCUAACGGAAUCUAGACACCACAAAGGAUGUUCAACCCGCACCUAUAAACCCUAUCCUUCCUGCUAACGAGAUAUGGUCUGCAAAGGUAACUCGGAAAUGUCAUGUUCCUCGCUACUACCACGGUCUAGCUAGUCAGGGAAUAUCUAUGAGUAUCCUAGCUUAAACACCACGUCGACGCUAGAGAUGAUUACUCUAAACUCUACGCGAAGAGAUUAAAGUAAACUCAUAAACCAAAAGAACAAUAAAACAAGAACUUACUAGAAUUUAGAAGUCGAAAUACUGAAGAAUCCUAGGAGCAAGCCUCGGGUUAGGAGAACUUGAUCCCGCAGGUACAAGCUUGGGGCAGACACCGACAGGCCGGGCUUCCUCCAAUCUACACCUCCACUCUAUCUCUCUCCAUCUAGUAGAAACUAGAAGAUCUAUUUCUACUUACAUUGGUUGCUAAGCCUAAAAAGAAAUUUUAUUUAGAGAAGAGGUUUUCCUUCGAGGGCUCCCCUCAACUCUAUGAUAAACUUGUCUCCUCCAGGGGCCAGGGGGUCUGGUUUUAUAGUCCCCUCAAGUGAACGUGAGCCAUUGGAUCAAACCGACAUUGAUUGGACGGUUAUCCUUGAUCCUUUAGGUCGGUGGAGCGUCGUGUGAGAGUCCCGAACGGAGUACAGAGGGGGGCGGGCGCCCAGGUCCUCAGGGCGGGCACCCUGGGCCUGGCCCCUUUUGGCCUCUGCUUCGUUCUCGUGGCUUCUGGAGUCUUCUAGAUGGUAGAAAAUUGUGCGGUGUGUUGAUAUCGCUAUGUAAUCCCGACAUGUGGGCCUUUCUUCCUUAUUUCCUGAUAAUCCCCUGCAGAAACAGAUAAACAACAAAACUCGUGGAAUUCUGUCAGAUCAAACCCUAAUUCUAGGUGUUGUUUGUAUAUUGGUCCUUUCUCUUGUUUAUUUGAUAAUUAUAAUUGAUACUUAAGAACCGUCAACAGCAUACUCUAUGUGAAUGCAUCAAGGCCGGAUGUGAUGUUUAGUGUAUGCAUGUGUGCUAGAUUUCAAGCCUCACUAAGAGAAAGUCAUUUGAAGGCAACAAAAAGAAUAUUGAGGUACUUGAAGCAUACACAAAAUGUCUGAUUGUGGUAUCCCAAAGGAACAAGUUUUGAGUUGAUUGGUUAUUCUGACUCUGAUUAUGCGGGAUGCAAAGUUGAGAGAAAGAGCACAUAAGGCACAUGUCAAUCAUUGGGAAGAUCACUUGUGUCGUGCUCAUCAAAGAAGCAAAAUAGUGUAGCACUUUCAACCGCUAAAGCAGAGUAUAUUUUAGCUGGUAGUUGUUGUGCUCAAUCACUUUGGAUGAAGGCUACUUUGAAUGAUUUUGGAAUCAAGUUCAAACAAGUGCCAUUGCUAUGUGAUAAUUGUUGGGUAUUCUUAACAUUAUUACCAAAAGUAGACUUAGUUUUCUAAUUCGGAUAACAGUGCCAAAAAUGCCAAACCUAUCUCUCAUACCACUUAAGCCAAGUUGUCAUCCCCAACAUGACAUGAGAGACGCGGUAUUGAAAUAUGCAAUUGCUCAUCUAAAUAAAUAAUGAAUGGGAUCUGCAAGCGCACAUAUUAAUACCGAUGUAGCAUUUUAACCGGGAAGUAUUCCACGUAUCGUUAUUUAUAUUUUUACCACUGGGAAGGGAUUACUAACCAUCAAUGUUGAUUAUAGAAUGGAAUAUAUGAUUGAGUAUCUAUCACUGCAUGUAUAAUUGAGAACAUUUAUCUAACUCUUUCAUACAGGGGUAAGUGUCACAUAAAGGAUAUAUAAAGUAAUGAAUAGUGACAAAGAUAAUUAAUCUGAUCAGCAUAACUAGCCACAUAUAAAUAUGAUAAGCACCUCAAUUAGAUAUUCUAGAAAGUCAUUAGCAUGGAAUUAGAACGAACUACAAAAAUAUUUCCUAAGUUAUUCUUAAGUAUACAGUCUAGCAUAUCAUAGUUAGUGCAAGCAUACUUAGCAAUCAUUGCGAGAUAGGAUUACGCCCAUGCAUAGUGAUAUUAGCAAGGAAUAUGAGAAACAUAGUAAUCACUCCCCUGUAAUAAUGUUGCUCUACCAGCCCAAUACACGAGAGGGGGACUAUAUAAGAAUCAAUGAAGCUGUCACUAUCACGAACUACCCCGUGAUCUGGCAUAUUGGGUACAAUCGUAGAUAAAUACGGUAUAAGCACCACGCCUACACAAUAUCUAUCAUUUACCCAUGGAUCCGAUGGAUAAACGCUAUACGAUCCUAAACAUGUAUAUAGAUCCAAUCUAACUAAGCCAAGUAUAUAACUAUGAUAGACUAAGAACAAUAUAAUCUUGAAUAUAAACAAGUAGAGCAAAAUCAUAAGCAAUAUAUUGAAGUAGAACAAAGUCAUAUUCAUAAUAUUGAAGAACAAUUAGAGAAUUACCAAGAAUCCUCUUGAUAGAUCCGGAAACCAAUCGAAGAUUGAAUCCUUCUAGUUCUAAUCCUAUGUAGCUAUGCUAAUCUAGAUGUCUAAUUGAUGUGGUGGCUCUAGGCUUGAUCAGAGGCUUCUUCUCCCUUAAGGAAUAAUGAAUUAGGGUUGAGAGGCUCUCUCCUCUAGGGGCCAGGGGGUCUGGUUUUAUAGUCCCUUCAAGUGCAUAUGGGCCGUCGGAUCAAACCGACAUUGAUUGAACGGUUAUCCUUGAUCCUUUAGGUCGGUGGAGAUCGAUCCCGAAAGAGAGUCCUGAUUGGACUCAGCAGGGGGGCGGGCUCCCUGGUCUCCUGGGCGGGCGCCCAGGGCCAGGCCCCGUUUCGCCUCCGCUUCGUUCCCGUGGCUUCUGGAGUCUUCUAGAUGUAAGAUAAUUGCACGUCACGUUGAUAUCUCUAUGUAAUCCCGACGUGUUGGCCUUUCUUCCGUAUUUCCUCAUAACCCCCUGCGGAAAUAGACAAACACCAAAACUCGUGGAAUUUUGUCAGAUAAAACCCUAAGUCUAGAUGUUGAUUUCAUUUGGAUCGUUUUCUUUGUUUAUUUGAUACUUAAAUUUGAUACUUAAGGACCGUCAACAAACUCCCCCAAGCUUACCUCUUGCUCGUCCCUGAGCAAUGAUAAUCUCAGCGAUAGAUCAGAAGUUGUUGUAAUGCUUUUAAAAGUUGACGGUACACAUGCUUUUAAAUAAGAUCUCAUCUCUGAGUUAGAGUAAACUAUCAUGACUUAAAACUUACUUACUUUACCUUUCACCAUGGGACUUGUAACCGUCUCUUCUGUCUUGAGUAGUUAAAAGAUAGAACAGUCUAGUCAAGUGCCAUGUCUCUUAUUUUUGAUAAGCUAUAGCUCUGGAGUUUUUGCAGAUUUUCAAAUAAAACUUAGAGAUUCCUUGUAUGACUCUCUCAGAUCUCUCUUAUGUAGUAUUUCUGGAUCCUUACCAAGGCAGUGAUGGUAUAUGCCUUCUCUCAAAAUAUGUAGUAUUUGUGGUAUAAGGCAUAGUGACAUUGCCUUCUCUCUCACCGUACUCUAAUAAGGCUUUUGAUAUCUGGAGCUCAUAGGUGGGAGUUAAAGUAUACAUACUUACAAGACAUUUAUUGUAUAGUCAAACCAUGGAUCCAAAGAAACAAAUCAAUAAGCCAAAUCAAGAUGUGCAUGUGUGGCGAAUGAAUGGCGUAUGGUGAUGAUGGUGAUAACAAUGGUGAAAGUCUAAUUCUACUUUUGCUCUUUUGAGAGGAUACAUACCUUCCUUGCUUUUUGAAACUUUGUGAGGAGAAUGAGAUGCUCUUCUUUUCUUUUUCUUUCCUCUCAGGUGGGUAUCUUAAACCCCUAAUUCUACUGUCGGACACUUGUCCAUUUUUACCUCUCGUCUAACUUUUUCUUUUCUUUUUUCUUUCGAGGUUCCGGGCACUUGCCCCUUUUUAUUUCCUCGUAUACUUUUUCUUCUCUUUUUUUAAAAGAGCACUUGUCUCUUGAAAUAAUAUAGCAAGUGGCAGUAACCAAGAUAACUUGAGCAUUUAUUUCAUAGGAGAAAAACAGAAAUAUUUUUGGUCAUUCUCUCCCGGAUUAGGAGUAGAAUGUUUUUGGGUGGUUCUGGAGAUGGAAAUGGGUGGAUAUAUGUGGAUGGUACUUCCAGAAUAGAAGCAGCAUGUAUGAGUGAACGUGCAAGUGAAUCUUGAUUUAACCACAUGACAAGCUCCUAAGGGUCUACACAGCUUGACCACACUCAAUGAUCAUAAGUAGUAAAGUAAAUGUGUGGCUCAAAGUCUAGCAAGCAUGUAUAUAUGGUUGUGGUAGGAAUUUAAACUCUCAUCAUAUAGGAACUCAUCAUGUAUUAUUUUAAAGAUUUUUUAAAGAUAAAAUUCUCUAGAAUUCUAGCAUCUCUAGGAACAGGUAAACAGCUGCUCAAACUUCCCAUAUCAUAUCCGUUAACAACUUAGACUUCAGAUCAAGUUUUCUUCCCACAAGUUUAGGUUUAGAGCAAGCUUUAAAUUAUAACAGUUAUGUCUAAACUUGAUAGAGAACUUCAAAUUUUAAAAAUUAGGCAGAGCAACUAUUCAUCAUAUCCAUGCUAGAGUUUUAUUAUUAAGAUUCAGAUUAGCAUAGCCACUUUAUUUAUUUAUUAAACACAGUAAGCAAAAGAUAUAUAUAUAUAUAUAUAAGCAUAAAAUCUUUAUUUGGUUUUUUCAUAGUUAUGUAUAUUUAAUGUAGUGAAAGUAUAAAAAUAGAUAGAAAUACUUAGCGGGAUAAAUGGGGGUGCUCUCCCCCAAGCUGAAUUUUGACGUAAUUUCUUCUGAUGUAUCUAGCAGGUGGCAGAGGUGUAUUUGAAAGUCGGCAGUAUCUUGACAGCGAUUAGAAUGUCCUCCGUCUGCUAGUCUUCUGAUUCUUAAACUCUGUGGAGCUCAAAUAGACAACAAAGCUUUGUGGAACUGAUUAAGUGUUAGCAUAAAUAUCUAGCCUUCAUCAUGUUGAGACUCCUCAAUAAAUGUUACUCCCUGUUUUUAUAUUUUUCAUUUUAUAGAGUAGAAAAGAAAUAUUUAUUUUAUUUUUAUGCCACCACAGUGAAUGUACUUAUGGGUUUUAUGCCACUCGUAUACUCACAUGGGGCUUACUGUUUUUAACAUUUUUAUUUUCUUUUUAGGAUAGUAUGAACAUGAUUAACUCAACUGUUUAAAAUAAUUGAAAGCGAAAGGAUAACUACCAAGUUUACCUCUUGUCAAGGCGUUCGGUGUUUUUAAGUCCUCCGAACGGGACUCUCCGUUUUCUCAAUUGUCCUAGGAUUCGUUGGGUGGCGUAGUCGGUGCUUCCGGCAGCGCCUCCUCUUCAUGUAUAGUUAUCUUCUCUUUCCACACCUGACUCGGUGCUACGGUCUCCUCUGGAUAAUUCUGUUUAAACUGUAUGUCUUCUGACCUUAUCACUUCUCCUUCGUAGUCUGCCCAUCCGUCCUUGAUGAUCUGACUCCUCUGGUUGCGGUUGCGUCGUUUUUUGACCUGCUUAGAGUCUUCAACGAUAUAGUUAGGGUCAGUAAAGUAGCGGCGUACCUUCUCUGAGGGGAAGUGCAUAUGGACUUCUCCAGUUCCAAUGUAGAUAAUUGCUUUAACGGUACUGAGGAACGGUCUUCCAAGGAUGAUGGGUGGAUCGUAUUCAUCUUCUCCCAUGUCAAUAACCUAAAAGUCUGUGUAGACAAAAUGAUCAUCUAUUUUGACAGGGACAUCAGUUACUAUUCCUUUAACCUCUCGGAAUGUCUGAUCUGCCAUCUGGAGUUGAAUGUAUGUUGAUUUUAGGGGCAUGGUUCCGAACAAGAGUCGAUAGGUGACUGCGGCCAUUAUGUUGACGCCCGAUCCGGUGUCGCAAAACGUCUUGUAGAAGUUGUAUCCAUUUAUGGAGCAAUAGAUGCUUGGCAUUCCUAGGUCGUCCUUCUUGAUCAAAAAUGGUGACUUAAGUUGAUGAUCUUGGCCUCCAUGAACUGCAGUGACCAUCUUAGCUGACUCGGUCCACACUUGCGUGUUCCUGUUCCUCCUGUUGGUCCUCUUCCUUGGUUCAUGUCGAGAUUGAUCUGGGAUUUGUGUAGUCUUGUUCUUGAAGGAAAACGUCUCCUUCUUCCCUUUGAAGUAGAAACUAAUCUUGGCAGCACUAGCGUAGAUGACAGCUCCCGAGGUGUUUAAGAAUGACCACCCUAAGAUGAUGGGUGCCCUCUCAUCAUUACCGGUCUCUUUCACUACAAAGUCUGCUGGGGCGUAUAAGGUACCAACUCGGACACAAAAGGUUCUUCAAUAUUCCUUUUGGAAAACUUAUUAUUUGAUCUGCAAACUGCAAACACAUGGUUGUUUCUGAUAAAGGAUAUGUAAAGAAUUUUUCAUAGAGUACCCUGGGCAUAAUGUUGACACUAGAGCCAAAGUCACAGAGUGCUUCUAGGAAGUCCACCAUGCCGAUGGAGAUUGGGAUGACGGGGUGUCCUGGAUCACCUCUCUUGACCGGCAGAAGGUCAGUAGUAACUUCAGUGACGGGGUUACUCCAAUUACCUGCAUCAAAUAUGUCUACAAGAUUUGCAGAUUCUAAUCCUUCCAGUUGUGAUGGUAUACCGGGGUUAGUAGCAGGAACAGCAGCAGCUAUGAUUUAACUGAGAUUCAAUCAUUUUAUUAAAGCUAAUUUGAUUCUUGAUGGCAGUAGAGAAAUUAUCCAUUCUAUUAUUUAUAUUUUCUAGCAUUUUAUCAUUAGAUGCCAAUUUCUUAGAUAGGUUAUCCAUUAGCUUUCCUUGAUUAGACACUAACUCUCUCAAAGGUGGAAAAUUAUUAUUACUGUUGUAAGAAUUAUUACCUUGAUAAUUACCUGAGUAGUUAGGCCUCUGUUGAUUCCAACCUUGAUUUUGUUGAGGACGGUUGUAGUAGUAGUAGUUGUUGUUGUUGUUGAUGUAGUUCACAUCCUCAAGCAUCUCAGGGCAGUGAUUGCCUGAGUGUCCAGUAUCUCCACACUCCUCACAAGUCAUGUGAGAGUCGUAGAUGUGCAUAACUUCUUUCUUAUCUCCAGCUCUAUCAUCGAGCUUCUUCAUGAGCAGGUCUAGCUUUGCAGAUAGCAUGUCUACCUCCUUGAGCUGAUGCAUACCUCCAACUCUCUUGCGUGUCUGGGUCCUCUCUUCAUUCCAGCUUUGAUUGGACGCCAUCUUCUCCACAAAAGCUGUGGCUUGUGAUAUGGUAAGUGAUAGGAAUACUCCUCCGGCUGCAGCAUCCAUGGUCUCUCGGGCACUGUUGCCGAGCCCAUGAUAAAAUGUCUACAUCAAUAGCCAACUCUCCAUUCCAUGAUGGGGACAUUCUAGGAUGUAGUCUUGGAAGCGCUCCCAUGCUUCUGGAACGGAUUCAUCAUGUUGUUGCUGAAAACUUGUAAGCUUCCCACGGAGAGCAUUGGUCUUGCCCAUGGGAAAGAACUUAGCCAGAAAGUUCGUGGAGCAGAGUGCCCACGUAGUAUUCUUCUCCUUUGUAGCGUAAAACCACUGCUUCGCUCUCCCCAACAGUGAGAAUAGGAAGAGGCGAAGUAGUAUAGCAUCUCUGGGGACUCCUGAUAUGGUGAAUGUGUUGCAAAUCUCCAGGAAGUGUUGGAGAUGAGCACUAGCAUCUUCGUGUGCCUUCCCACAGAACUGGUUGGAUUGCACCAUGUUAAUAAGUCCAGGCUUGAGCUCAAAGUUGCCAUCGAUCUCUGCAACAGGUCCAGUGCGGAUAUUGUCCGUAGUGGGAGCUGAGAACUCACGGAUCGAUUUGUUUGCCAUGGCUUCGAACUCUGAAGACAAGUUUUGGUGAUCUUCUUGAUUGGAUGAAGCUACUUGCUGAUGUGUUGAUGAUCCCUUCUUGAGCUUGGCUCUAGUUUUUCUAAAUAAGGCUUCGGGAUUGUCAACAAAAUUUCCUAGAAGAUGUCUUCUAUUCAUACAUUCCCCUGCAUAAGAUAAAAUAGGAAAAUAUUGGGGUAAAACUGUAUGAGAGAAUUGAUAAGCUCAAUCAUAUUAGUGAUGCGAAUGAUAACUCAAAAUUCUAUAUUCAUUCCUGAUUAGUAAUCAACCUUCACCGGCAACGGCGCCAAAAAUGCUUGUUGGGUAUUCUUAACAUCAUUACCAAAAGUAGACUUAGUUUUCUAAUUCUGAUAACGGUACCAAAAAUGCCAAACCUAUCUCUCAUACCACUUAAGCCAAGUUGUCAUCCCCAGCAUGACAUGAGAGACGCGGUAUUAAAAUAUGCAAUUGCUCAUCUAAAUAAAUAAUGAAUGGGAUCUGCAAGCGCACAGAUUAAUACCGAUGUAGCAUUUUAACCGGGAAGUAUUCCAGGUAUCGUUAUUUAUAUUUUUACCACUGGGAAGGGAUUAGUAACCAUCAAUGUUGAUUAUAGAAUGAAAUAUAAGAUUGAGUAUCUAUCAUUGCAUGUAUAAUUGAGAACAUUUAUCUAACUCUUUCAUACAGGGGUAAAUGUCACAUAAAGGAUAUAUAAAGUAAUGAAUAGUGACAAAGAUAAUUAAUCUGAUCAGUAUAACUAGCCACAUAUAAAUAUGAUAAGCACCUCAAUUAGAUAUUCUAGAAAGUCAUUAGCAUGGAAUUAGAACGAACUACAAAAAUAUUUCCUAAGUUAUUCUUAAGUAUAUAGUCUAGCAUAUCAUAGUUAGUGCAAGCAUACUUAGCAAUCAUUGCGAGACAGGAUUACGCCCAUGCAUAGUGAUAUUAGCAAGGAAUAUGAGAAACAUAGCAAUCACUCCCCUGUAAUAAUGUUGCUCUGCCAGCCCAAUACACGAGAGGAGGACUAUAUAAGAAUCAAUAAAGCUGUCACUAUCACGAACUACCCCACGAUCUGGCAUAUUGGGUACAAUCGCAGAUAAAUACGGUAUAAGCACCACGCCUACACAAUAUCUAUCAUUUACCCAUCGAUCCGAUGGAUAAACGCUAUACGAUCCUAAACAUGUAUAUAGAUCCAAUCUAACUAUGCCAAGUAUAUAACUAUGAUAGACUAAGAACAAUAUAAUCUUGAAUAUAAACAAGUAGAGCAAAGUCAUAAGCAAUAUAUUGAAGUAAAACAAAGUCAUAUUCAUAAUAUUGAAGAACAAUUAGAAGAACAAUUAGAGAAUUACCAAGAAUCCUCUUGACAGAUCCGGAAACCAAUCGAAGAUUGACUCCUUCUAGUUCUAAUCCUAUGUAGCUAUGCUAAUCUAGAUGUCUAAUUGAUGUGGUGGCUCUAGGCUUGAUCAGAGGCUUCUUCUCCCUUGAGGAAUAAUGAAUUAGGGUUGAGAGGCUCUCUCCUCCAGGGGCCAGGGGGUCUGGUUUUAUAGUCUCUUCAAGUGAAUAUGGGCCGUCGGAUCAAACCGACAUUGAUUGAACGGUUAUCCUUGAUCCUUUAGGUCGGUGGAGAUCAAUCCCGAAAGAGAGUCCUGAUUGGACUCAGCAGGGGGGCGGCCGCCCUGGUCUCCUGGGCGGGCGCCCAGGGCCAGGCCCCGUUUCGCCUCCGCUUCGUUUCCGUGGCUUCUGGAGUCUUCUAGAUGUAAGAUAAUUGCGCGUCACAUUGAUAUCUCAAUGUAAUCCUGACGUGUGGGCCUUUCUUCCGUAUUUCCUAUAACCCCCUGCAGAAACAGACAAACACCAAAACUCGUGGAAUUCUGUCAGAUAAAACCCUAAGUCUGGAUGUUAAUUUCAUUUGGAUCCUUUUCUUUGUUUAUUUGAUAAUUAAAUUUGAUACUUAAGGACCGUCAACAAUAAUGAGAGUGCAGUGAAGCUCACUAACAACCCAGUUCAACAUUCAAGAACAAAGCAUAUAGAUGUCCAUCAUUAUUUCAUAAGAGAUUAUCAACAAAAAGGUAACAUUUGUAUUGAGAGUGUGGGCACCGAAGAUCAACUUGCCGAUAUAUUCACCAAGUCACUUGAUGAGAAGAGGUUUUGCAAGGUAAGGAAUGAAUUGAACAUAUUGGAUUUCUCAAAUAUGUGUUGAUGCACCCCCAUAAUAUGACAUGCCUCUUCUUCAAGCAAAGCAAGGUAAAAUUGAUUGACAUGUCAUCCAUCCUUUGCUAAGGACUUGUUUAGUGCAUCUAGUCAUUCCUCACAUGUUUUAGGCUCAUUCAUGAAAAUAAAAUAAAUUUGAUGCUUGUAUGAUAGCACUAUUGCUUCUAUGUUUGAAAUAAUCUAGUGGUAGCAUAUGACAUGUUUGUGGGCUUGCAAUCCUAGUGUUUGAUCUAGAAAAUGAGCUAUAAGUGUUUAACUCAACAUUGUCAAGAUAACCCUUGAAAUGAGAUGUCAAAAUGCUUGUCGUUGGAUCAAACCGAGUUAAAUAUCUUAGGCAAGUAAUCAAGAUUGAACCAAAUUUAGGAAAAUGAUCCUCACAUAACAUGGUUUCACACAACCUAUCUAAAAUUUGAGCUCACCUUUUGUGGUUAUCGAUGACAAAGGGGAGAAGUAAUUCACAAAGAUAGGUUUUGCUAAAAGAAGGGGAUCAAAUUAUUUUGAAGCACACAAGUAGGGGGAGCAAGCCCAUAAACUUGUAUGUUGCAUUACAUAUGCUUGCUUGCAUAGCAUAAGUUUUUUUCCUCCGAUACAUGCUUGUGUGGUGUUUGCUAGUUGUAAAUUUAUUUGAUGAAAUGAAAUACUAGCAUGCAUAGGAUGGUAGUUAGAUGUGCCUUGCAGGUUUUGUUUUUACAAGUAAUACUAGAGUCUUUUUUUUAUAAUGUUGAUCUCACGAGGUAUCUAGUGUUUAUAUUUGCAAGCGCUAUCUAACUAACCAUGGUGCUAAGGAUGGUAUUCAAAUGACAACUCCGAUUGGUAUCACGCUUCAAAGGUCCAUUCUUUACACCUUAACAUCAUUUGGUAGCCAUUAUCUCCUAUGUUUCCUAUCUAAGCAUAUGUGCAAGCCUUCAAAUCCAAACUCUUAGCACAUACGUAGGGGGAGCCAAUGCUAUCAAUUUGGGUUUAUAAAACUUGCCCAUAUCCAUUACACAUGGUAAAAUGCUUGGGCAAGCAACAUGAACCUAAAAAUAUUUUAUUGAAUAUCUUUGUGAAAAGGUGGUCAUCAAUUACCAAAAAGGGGGAGAUUGAAAGCCCUAGUUUGGUUUUGGAUAAUUGAUGAAACCUAUGUGUACUAAUAUUUGUCAUGAGUGAAAUACAAAGAUAGGUUGGUUCACACCAAGUAAUGGAGCUAGACGAUGGUCAUGGUGAUGGAGGUGACCAAAAAAUAAUAUUCAAGUGCUCCAACUUAGAAAAGAAGAAAGAGAAAAAUAAAAUGGGCUCAAGGCAAAGGUAUUUUUAAUAGGGCCAUUUUGUUUUGUCACUCAAGACACCUAGAGUUUGUGAGUGGAUUUAGGAUAGAUAAUCGUACUAUAAAGAGAGGAAAUCUUUAAUUACAGUGGUUAUCUAGUGCCACUAAGUGUGAGUCUCUUUUGCAUAUGCAUUGCGCUUAGUGACAUGGUGAGAAUGCUUGAGAAAGCCCUAAAAAUUAUUUGUGAAAAUGCUAACUUAAGUGCUCAAUUGUUUUGGUACUUCGUGGGAGAGUUAGCACCUUGAAAAGGGAUAUUUAGUUGAAAAACGAGCUAGUAGUCAUGCCCAAACAAUAAGGGGUCGAUCGGAGUUAUUCACUACCCUACUGAAUAUAUUCUAGUGUAUAUGCUUGCAACAGAGAGGGGUCGAUUGGAAUUUUCCUUGCUCUACCUGGAUAUUUUCAUGGCUCUAUAUGGAAAUUUUGGUUGAGCUCAAAUCUACUCGCGCCCAACGGUCAUGUGCGUGCAAUAGAGAGUUUUGGCUAGAAAUUUAGUUGCCCCGCACUGGAAAUUUUUCUGUGCCGUAGUUCACCCACGCCAACGGUCAAAAGUGUGUUUGCCUGGAAUUAUUUCCUACCUGCAAUGGAAUUUCUCACAAGAUUGGGCUGCUGCAACGGUCGGAUGAGUGGCUGGCUGAGGAUAAGGUCGGGUCUUACCCCUUCCUUUCUUCUUUCUCAAUCCAUUCCCCAUUCUUGCUCUCUGUUGACGGUCCUUAAUGCUCACAUUUAACCGUCAAUUAAUCAUGGAAAAGGACCUAUAUGCAAUCAACACCUAGACUUAGGGUUUUAUCUGACAGAAUUCCAUGAGUUUUGGUAUUUGUCUAUUUCUGCAGGGGUUAUCAGGAAAUACGGAGGAAAGGCCCACACGUCGGGUUUACAUAGAUAUUAACGUGCCGCGCAAUUUUCUAUCAUCUAGAAGACUCAAGAAGCCACGAGAACGAAUGGGAAGCCGAGAGGGCUCAGGGACAGGGCGCCCGCCCUACUCCUUUGGGCGCCCGCCCACCUUUAGUGUCCAAUUCAGACCCAUUUCGCGGAUCACGCUCCACCGACCUAAAGGAUCAAGGAAAACCGUGCGAUUAAUGUCGGUUUGAUCCGACGGUCCAGAUUCAUCUGAAAAGACUAUAUAAGUAAGGCCCCUGGAGAUCAUACCUCUUCUACAUAAUCAAAGCUAGGGUUUCAAUUCUUCAUCCAAGUAGAGAGGAUCUCUCUAGUUCAUCUAGUUCUAGCUCUAGUUCAUCUAGUUCUAGUUCAUCUAGUUCUAGUUCUAGUUAGUUCUAGUUAGUUCUAGUUGUAAUCUAGAAAAUAGGGAGAGAGAAGAGGAGAGCGGAGGAGGAGCCGGAUCUGUCGGAUCUUCCUCAAUAUUGUACUUUUGCAGCAACUGGUUCGUUCUUCAUCGUUCUCCAGGUUCUUCAAUUCAUAAUUCCUAAGUUCUUUAAUUACUUUUAUUUACAUUCAAGUUAUUUAUUGGAUUCCCGCUUGCAUCAAGUGCUCUAGUCUUUAUAACGCUAGAGUAGCAAUUAAUAGAUUAGACAUGGUGUUUAGUCUUGCAAUUACCUGGAAUUGCACCCAAUCCUGCGGAUUGUUGUGGUAGCCCUAGGGUAGUGACAGCCCUAACGGUCGACGUAUUCCACCUCGUUCGGAUCGAUGUUUGUAGGACCGUAGUUAGAGCUUCCUAGCCCCCUUCUCAUCUCUUUUUGUGGUUAGUGUUCUGAUGUCCCGAAAUAAAUAAUCUUUGAAGUAAUUCUUGAUUCUUAGAUCAACUAGAGAACUCUCAGAAAACUUCCUCUCUUCCCACCAAAAAUAAUUAUAUAGUUAUCCUUGGGCGAUCUUGAUUCUUAAUUAGUACACUCACGUUCCCUGUGGAAAAUCGAUACUCUGGAAUACUCCCGGGUGAAAGCUACAUCGGUAUCCGUGCGCUUGCGGAUUUUUCUGUUUGCGUUUAAAAUACCCAACAAGCUUUCUGGCGCCGUUGCCGGGGAACGGUAGUUGUGCUAGUUUCGAACCAAGUCAUCCGUGUAUCCUUUUUCUUUUCCUUUUUUUACCACACUCACCUUACCAUUUUCACCACACCACAUGGAUUUCACUCUAAGAAUUAAUGAGCAUGGAAUUUAUUUCAUAGCCACUUCAUUUACUCCAUGCUCAUAUGCAACAUCUUCCCAAUCUUUUGGUCUCUCCAACAUCACCACAUUCGAGAUCUCCAACCCCCUCAUCCUUUCUAUUUAUAAAAACUUUAAAAGGGCGGUUGUCGAUACAUAUGUCUAUAAUAAAUAUUGCAGAUCUCGUUGAGUUGAUCUUGAUAUAGGUCAGCGUUGGAGGGGAAACCACUUCGCCGACAUAAAUUGAUGGUUUCCCAAGGACAAGCUUAGUGUCCUAAAAUAAGCACUGAUCAGAUCGUAACAUGAGCUUUUAAUUAUUUGCAACAUUACCUUGUGUAUUGAGCAUAUAAGGAUAAUUGUAAACAAUUCCUUCGGGUAUUCUUGUCACUAACCUUUCCAGGAUUGGAGCAAGAAGAUCGGAUGAAUGACAAGCACAAGGUAUGUCCAACCAAUCAUCAUACAACAUUAAAUUAAAUUCAUCCAAACUUGAAUUUUGCAAAACUCAAGCUUAGGGGAGUACUUUACAUAAAAACAUCAUUUGCCAUGUUGCUAUGUUGGUUGUUGUUGACGGUCCUUAAGUAUCAAAUUUAAUUAUCAAAUAAACAAAGAAAAGGAUCCAAAUGAAAUCAACAUCUAGACUUAGGGUUUUAUCUGACAGAAUUCCACGAGUUUUGGUGUUUGUCUAUUUCUGCAGGGGGUUAUCAUGAAAUACGGAAGAAAGGCCCACAUGUCGGGAUUACAUAGAGAUAUCAACGCACCGCGCAAUUUUCUACCAUCUAGAAGACUCCAGAAGCCACGGGAAGAAAGCAGAGGCCGAAAGGGGCCAGGCCCAGGGCGCCCGCCCUGUCCUAGACUCCGUUCGGGACUCUCUUCGCACACGAUGUUCCACCGACCUAAAGGAUCAAGGAUAACGUAGUCCCAAAUCGCCUACCGACCCAAAAACGCAUAGAGGAGGAGGACUAUAUAAGGAGACCCCCUGGCCCCUAGAGAAGACAAGAAGUUAUCAUAGAGUUGAGGGGUGCCCUCGAAGGAAAACCUCUUCUCUAAAUAAUAUUUCUUUUUAGGCUUAGCAACCAAUGUGAGUAGAAAUAGAUCUUCUAGUUUCUACUAGAUUGAGAGAGAUAGAGUGGAGGUGUAGGUCGGAGGAAGGCCGGCCUGUCGGUGUCUACUCCGAGGUUGUACCUGCGGGAUCAAGUCUUCUAACCCGAGGCUUGCUCCUAAGAUUCUUCAGUAAUUCGACUUCUAAUUCUAGUAAGUUCUUGUUUUAUUGUUCUUUGGUUUAUGAGUUUACUUUAAUCUCUUCCGGUUGAGUAUUAGAGUAAUCAUUGCUAGCGUAAACGUGGUGUUUAGGCUAGGGUACUCAUAGAUAUCCGUUGACUAGCUGGACCGUGGUAGUAGCGAGGAACGUGACAUUUCCAAGUUACCUUUGUAUCUCAUAUCUUGUUAGCAGGAAGGGUAGGGUUUAUAGGUGCGGGUCAAACAUCCUUUGUGGUGUCUAGAUUCCGUAAGCUUCCCCAAUAGAACAGUAGAUCAUCCUUACCAAGGUUAGAACGAGACUACGGUUGCAGUCUUCUCUAUACAUCACUCACAUCGAGAAACAUUCUUUGUAGCCUAAAGGGAUAGUAGCAAUAGAUUUGGUUAGUCAGAUGCACCCUUUCUCCCAGUGGUAAAAUAUAAAUACGAUACUCUGGAAAACCUCUCGGGAGAAAUGCUCACCGAUAUCCGUGCGCUUGUGGAUCAUUUCCUGAUUGCGUUACCAAAUAUCAACAAGCAUUUCUGGCGUCGUUGCCGGGGAGAAAUACGGUUUGCUGAGAUAACUUUAAGUCUUGCUAUUAUCUUGUAUUAUACUUUUAUACUUUUAUUCUUUAAUCUUUUUAGUUUUUCCAUCUUUAUGGAUAACUUAAAGUCCAUACCUAUUAUUGAAUUUUUUGCACCUUCGGAGACCAGCCAUAGACCAUGGGAGUCAACAAGUCUUGCCCCUAAUUAUGAUCUGUGUCCAGAGUUGAUUGCAAUAGGUCAAAACCAACCCUUUUCUAUAGUUGAGGUCCUAUCUUUUAAUCAAGAAGAUAAUGAACUUUUAGCUACACCUAGGGAAUAUUUUAAUCUUUCUAUAAAUUCUGGUUUAGACCUAGCCCUACAAGACCAUGUUUUUUCUCGAUAUUUUCACAUUGGUCUUAAUCAUAUAACCUUUGGUAGAGUCUUUCUUUCUUUAUCUAUUAGAAAAGGAAGGUAUGUCUUCAUUCGUGGACAUCCUUCUUGCACUAGUCUUCAUAAAAAAUUUUUAGAGAUAGAGAAGGAAUCAUCUCCCAGACAAGGAAAGGAAGUUUCAAUAGCCGAUUUCCAAACAUUCCGAUCCCAUGAUUCGGCUAUCCAACCCAUCCUUGAGCCUAAUAAUUUCUACUAUGCUCUUUCUCUUGAACCUCCUCAUGAUCCUAUGAAUCUCUUUAGACAUCCCAUGCAUAAGAGUCACCAAGACCAUAAGGAGGAUCGAGAAGAGCAACAUCAAUGGCUAGAGGGCAUUAAAAAUCCAUGUGCUAUCACCACAUUUGAAAUCUCCAACCCUCUCUUCCUUUCUAUUUAUAACAACUUUAAAAGAGCGGUUGUCGAUGUAUAUGUCUAUAAUAAAUAUUGCAGAUCUCGUUGAGUAGAUCUUAAUAUAGGUCAGCGUGGGAGGGGAAACCACUUCGCCGACAUAAAUUGAUGGUUUCCCAAGGACAAGCUUAGUGUCCUAAAACAAGCACUGAUCAGAUCGUAACAUGAACUUCUAAUUAUUUACAACAUUGCCUUGUGUAUUGAGCAUAUAAAGAUAAUUGUAGAAAUAUUCCUUCGGGUAUUCUUGUCACUAACCUUUCCAAGAUUGGAGCAAGAAAAUCCGAGGAAUGACAAGCGCAAGGUAUGCCCAACCAACCAUCAUACAACAUUGAAUUAAAUUCAUCCAAACUUGAAUUUUACAAAAUUUAAGCUUGGGGGAGUACUUUACAUAAAAACAUCUUUUGCCAUGUUGCUAUGUUGGUUGUCCUUACCUUUGAGACAUGCUCAAUUUGUUAAAUACUAAUCACACUACUUCUUCUCCACUUAAGUAGAUCUCUAUAAAAGCCAUCAUGUUACCUAUGUUUAUCCUAGUAAGUGUUAGUUUGGAAGUACUGGACAUAUUUCCAUUGGCAUUUAAAUUAAGCGUGGUGCUUAGGUUAAAUAGCCUUCCUUAAUCUGAUUAGACAUGGAGUCUAGUUUGGUUACUGAACUAAAAACUGCUUCAGUAGGCAUUGGUAUACUUUGUCGGACUAACCCCUGCAGGAAAACUUUCAAUAUCAACCUGGGAAGUCCUGAGAUACAAACUCAUAUUGGAGAUAAAGGAGACACAUAAAGUUUAACAAUUUGCACAAGGAAGACAUAGCUCAUUCAUCAUAGAGAGAUGAUCCAUGGAACAAGACAAAGAGUGCCACAAACACGAUGCACAACCGCUAAGAAAGGAAAGCUUCCACAAGGAGAUAUUAUACCAUCACUCUUCAAUUAAGGUAACAUCUGAAGGUACUUGACUAUCACUUUUAUAAGCUUCUCCUUGGUUCUGGCGUUCACAUGAAUAAAGACACAAAUAUAAAUUAACCAACCUAAUUAAUUCAACAUGUUUAGUCCUUUAAUCUUUGUUCUUAGUACUACCUUUGUGAUCCCACACUCCUAAUCAUAUAAGCUAAAAUGUUGCAUAUUCAAUCUUUGGGAAGAUAUAAAGAAAAAAAACAUAAAUAUAGAUAGAUUAUCUUUCCAUUAGGUUGAGCCAUCUGAUCUGACAAAUGCUACACUCAUGGUCCAUCAACUUUGUCUUGCUCACUAUGCUUAAGGUUAGAGAAGAACAAAUACACUUUUGGUUCUGUUGGUGUUUUCCACCAACAGGGCCCAUGCACUUGAUCUCUGCCUUGUCUCAAUGAACAGGUACACUUCAAGCAAAACAUGAAGGAGUUUUACAACUCCUAGAUUCCACCAAGUGAAGGACUUGGAUCUACGAGCACAAACACACUGAGCAGGAUAUUGCCAACAUCGCACUUCGAACUGCUGGGCAAACAAACAACAUGGGUGACUCCGUAUCAAGAGGUGCAGACGUUAAGGUCCACACCUAAUCAAAUGAUGCACCUAAAAGAUGAAGACGGUGAGAAGUCUUGUCCAGAAGACUUAAAACAUUGGAUCCUUGUUAGAGGAGGUCAAGAUCGUCGACUCAAGUCGCCUUUCCUAAUCAAGAAGGACGACCCUGGUGUUCCAAGCAUCGAAUGCACAAUCAAUGGAUACUCUUUUUAGAAGACACUCUACGACACCGGAUCAGACGACAACAUAAUGACCGCAGUCACUUAUCAGCUCCUGCAUGGAACCAUGCCCCUACAACCAACAUACAUUCAGCUCCAGAUGAUUUUCAGGUCAUUGACAUGGGAGAAGACGAGUAUGAUCCACCCACCAUCCUUGGAAGACCAUUCCUCAACACUAUCAAAGCCAUCAUCUACGUUGCAACCGGAGAAGUCCACAUGCACUUCCCCUCUGAGAAGGUACGCCGCUAUUUUACUAACCUUAACUAUAUAGUUAAAGACUCUAAGCAGGUCAGGACAAGAAGAAGACGACGCAACCGCAACCAGAGGAGGCAAAUCAUCAAGGACGGAUGGGCAGACUACGAAGGAGAAGUGGUAAGGUCUGAAGACAUACAGCUUGAACAGAACUGUCCUGAGGAGACCGUAGCACCGAGUUAGGGGUGGAGGGAGAAGGUAGUUAUACACGAAGAGGAGGCGCUGCCAGAACCACCGACUACGCCACCCAGCAAAUCCCAGGAUGAUUGAGAAAACGGUGAGUCCCGUUCGGAGGACUUAAAAGCACCAAACGCCUUGCCAAGAGGUAAACAUGGUAGUUAUCCUUUUCCAUUCAAUAGUUUGCUUAGUUAAUCAGGUUCAUGCUAUCUGGAAAAUAAAAUAAAAAUGUUAAAAAAAAUAGUAAGCCCCAUGUGAGUAUGCUCAUGGCAUAAAACCCAUAAGUACAUUCACUGUGGUGGCAUAAAAAUAAAAUAAAUAAGUUUUCAUCUUACAAUAAAAAUAUAAAAAUAAUAUAGUGCAUGAUCCCGCUAAAUAAGUAACAUUUAUUGAGGAGGCUCAACAUGAUAAAGGCUAGAUAUUUAUGCUAACACUUAACCAGUUCCACAAAGCUUUGUUGUCUAUUUGAGCUCCACAGAAUUCAAGGAUCAAAGAAGACUAGCAGACGGAUGACAUCCUAAUCGCUGUCGGGGUGCUGUCGACUUUUAAAUACACCUCCAUCACCUGCUAGCUACAUCAGAAGAAAUUACGUCAAAAUCCAGCUUGGGAGAGAGCACCCCCAUUUAUCCAGCUAAGUAUUUCUACUCGCGUUUAUAGUUUACUCAAAUAAUAAAAGAUGAAUAAUCAUGAAAACCCAAAUAAAGAUUUUGAGCUUUUAUAUAUAUAUCUUUGCUUAGUUUGUUAAAUAAAUAAAUAAAUAAAGUUUGCUAUGAACCUUUAUGAUAAGCUCUCACAUGGAAAUGAUGAAUAGUUGCUCUGCCAUGACUAGUUCUUAAAAUUGAAAUCUCUCUCAAGUUUAGGCAUAACUGUUAUAAUUUAAACCUACUCUAAACCUGAACUUGUGGGGAGAAUACUUGAUCUAAAGUCUAAGUCGUUAAUGGAUAUGAUAUGGGAAGGUUGAGCUGUUGUUUAUCUGUUCCUAGAGAUGCUAGAAUUCUGGAGAAUUUUAUCUUUAAAAAAAUCUUUAAAAUAACAUAUGAUGAGUUCCUGUAUGAUGAGAGUUUAAAAUCCUACCACAGCCAUAUUUACAUGCUUAUUAGACUUUGAGCCACACAUUUACUUUUUACUGCUUAUGAGCAUUGAGUGUGGUCAAGCUGUGUAGACCCUUAGGAGCUUGUCAUGUGGUUAAAAUCAAGAUUCACUUGCAUGUUUACUCGUAUAUGCUGCUUCUACUCCGGAAGUACGCAUCCACAUACAUCCACUCAUUUCCGUCUCCAGAUUCACCCAAAAUUAUUCUACUCCUAAUUCGGGAGAGAAUAGCCAAAAACAUUUUCCUAUCCCUGUUAUUCCCUGUGAAAUAAAUGCUCCAGUUAUUUUGGUUACUACCACUUGCUACAUUCUUUCAGGAGAUGAGUGCUCUAAAAAAAAGAAAAAAAAUAAUACAAGGAAAUAAAAAGGGGCAAGUGUCCGGAACCUCGAAGAAAAGAAAAAGUGAGACGAGAGGUAAAAAUGGACAAGUGUCCGACAGUAGAAUUAGAGGUACAAGAUACCCACCUGAGAGGAAAGAAAAAGAAAAUAUAGAGCAUCUCAUUCUCCCCAAAAAACUUCAAAGUGCAAGAAAGGUAUGUAUCCCCUCAAAAGAGCAAAAAUAGAAUUAGACUUUCACCAUUGUUAUCACCAUCAUCACCAUACACCAUUCAUUCGCCACACAUGCACAUCUUGAUUUGACUUAUUGACUUGUUUCUCUGGAUCCAUGGUUUGACUAUGCAAUAAAUGUCUUGUAAGUAUGUAUUAGCUGUCUCCCACCUAUGAGCUCCAGAUAUCAAAACCUUAUUAGAGUAGGGUGAGAGAGAAGGCAAUAUCACUAUGCCUCAUACCACAAAUACUACAUACUUUGAGAGAAGGCAUAUAUCAUUACUGCCCUGGUAAGGAUCCAGAAAUACCACAAAAGCGAGAUUUGAGAGUCAUAUAAGGAAUCUCUGAGUUUUAUUUGAAAAUCUAUAAAAACUCCAGAGCUAUAGCUAAUCAAGAAUACGAGACAUGGCGCUUGACUUGACCGUUCUAUCUUUUAACUGCUCAAGACACAAGUGACGGUUACAAGCCCCAUGGUGAAAGGUAAAAUGAGUAAGUUUUAAGUCUUAACAGUUUAUUCUAACUCAGAGAUGAGAUCUUGCUUGAAUGCGUGUGUACUUUUAAGGCAUGAAACUACUGCAGAAACUCUUGAGUCCAUCCUUGCUCAGGGACGAGCAAGAGGUAAGCUUGGGGGAGUUUGUUGACGGUCCUUAAGUAUCAAAUUUAAUUAUCAAAUAAACAAAGAAAAGGAUGCAAAUGAAAUCAACAUCUAGACUUAGGGUUUUAUCUGACAGAAUUCCACGAGUUUUGGUGAUUGUCUAUUUCUGUAGGGGGUUAUCAGGAAAUACGGAAGAAAGGCCCACAUGUCGGGAUUACAUAGAGAUAUCAACGCACCGCGCAAUUUUCUACCAUCUAGAAGACUCCAGAAGCCAUGGGAAGAAAGCAGAGGCCGAAAGGGGCCAGGCCCAGGGCGCCCGCCCUGAGGACCUGGGCGCCCGCCCUGUCCUGGACUCCGUUCGGGACUCUCUUCGCACACGAUGUUCCACCGACCUAAAGGAUCAAGGAUAACGUAGUACCACAUCGCCUACCGACCCAAAAACGCAUAGAGGAGGAGGACUAUAUAAGGAGACCCCCCUGGCCCCUGGAGAAGACAAGAAGUUAUCAUAGAGUUGAGGGGUGCCCUCGAAGGAAAACCUCUUCUCUAAAUAAUAUUUCUUUUUAGGCUUAGCAACCAAUGUGAGUAGAAAUAGAUCUUCUAGUUUCUACUAGAUUGAGAGAGAUAGAGUGGAGGUGUAGAUCAGAGGAAGGCCGACCUGUCGGUGUCUACUCCGAGGUUGUACCUGCGGGAUCAAGUCUUCUAACCCGAGGCUUGCUCCUAAGAUUCUUCAGUAAUUCGACUUCUAAUUCUAGUAAGUUCUUGUUUUAUUGUUCUUUGGUUUAUGAGUUUACUUUAAUCUCUUCCGCUUGAGUAUUAGAGUAAUCAUUGCUAGCGUAAACGUGGUGUUUAGGCUAGGGUACUCAUAGAUAUCCCCUGACUAACUGGACCGUGGUAGUAGCGAGGAACGUGACAUUUCCGAGUUACCUUUGUAUCCAAUAUCUUGUUAGCAGGAAGGGUAGGGUUUAUAGGUGCGGGUCGAACAUCCUUUGUGGUGUCUAGAUUCCGUAAGCUUCCCCAAUAGAACAGUAGAUCAUCCUUACCAAGGUUAGAACGAGACUACGGUUGCAGUCUUCUCUAUACAUCACUCACAUCGAGAAACAUUCUUUGUAGCCUAAAGGGAUAGUAGCAAUAGAUUUGGUUAGUCAGAUGCACCCUUUCUCCCAGUGGUAAAAAUAUAAAUACGAUACUCUGGAAAACCUCCCGGGAGAAAUGCUCACCGAUAUCCGUGCGCUUGCGGAUCAUUUCCUGAUUGCGUUACCAAAUAUCAAUAGUUGUCCCUACCUUUGAGACAUGCUCAAUUUGUUAAAUACUAAUCACACUACUUCAUCUCCACUUAAGUAGAUCUCUAUAAAUGCUCUCAUGCUACCAUUAUUUGCUUUAGUAUAUGUCUAGGUUUGGAGUAGUUUCAUUCAUCUCUUAAUUAAGCAUGGUGCUUAGUUUAGGAAUGAUGAUCUUACUUCCAAGGAUUUUAAAUUAAGCAUGGUGCUUAGGUUAAAAUGCCCUCCUAAAUCAAAUUAGACAUGGUGUCUAGGUUGAUUUUUGAGCUGAUAGUAUGCUAUAGUAGAUAUUGGAUAUUUUGUUGGACUAAUCCCUGCAGGAAAACUUUCAAUAUCGACCUGGGAAGUCCUGAGAUAAACUCACAUUGGAGACAAAAAGAGAGACACAUGAAGUUUAACAAUUUACACAAGGAAGGCAUAGCUCACAAGAGAUGAUCCAUGGAGGGUGCCACAAACACGAUGCACAACCGCUAAGAAAGGAAAGCUUCCACAAGGUGAUAGUGUACCAUCACUCUUCAAGUAAGGUAACAUCUUAAGGUACUUGACUAUCACUUUUAUAAGCUUCUCCUUGGUUCUGGCGUUCACAUGAAUAAAAGAGACAAACAUGUAUGAUUUACAACCCUAGAUUAACCAACCCAAUCGAUUCAACAUGUUUAGUCCUUCCACCUUUAUGAUCCCACACUCCUAAUCAUAUGAGCUAAAAUGUUGCACACGCAAUCUUUGGAAGAUAUAAAAAACAUAAGUAUAGAUAGAUUAUCUUUCCAUUAGGUUGAGUGAUCUGAUCUGACAAAUGUUUUAAAUGCUACACUCAUGAUCUUAUUAUCCAUCAACUUUGUCUUGCUCACUAUGCUUAAGGUUUGAGAAGAACAAAUACACUUUUGGUUCUGUUGGUGUUUUCCACCAAUAGGGCCCAUGCACUUGAUCUCUGCCUUGUCUCUAUGAACAGGUACACUUCGAGCAAAAUAUGAAGGAGUUUUACAACUCCCAGACUCCACCAAGUGAAGAACCUGGAUCUAUGAGCACAAACACACUGGAGAUACUGGACACUCAGACAAUCACUGCCCUGAGAUGCUUGAGGACGUAAACUACAUCAACAACAACUACUACUACUACAACCAUCCUCAACAAAAUCAAGCUUGCAGAUCGUACGCUAAGUUUCCCAAAGGGAAUAUUGAAGAACCUCUGCGUCCGAGUUGGUACCUUGUACGCCCCAGCAGACUUCGUGGUGAUAGAGACUGGUACUGAUGAGAGGGCACCCAUCAUCCUAGGGAAGCCAUUCCUGAACACCUCAGGAGCUGUCAUCUAUGCUAGUGCUAUCGAGAUCAGUUUCUACAUCAAGGGGAGGAAGGAGAUGUUUUCCUUCAAGAACAAGACUACACAAGUCUCAGAGCAAUCCCGACAUGAACCAAGGAAAGGACCAACAGGAGGAACAGGAACAAGCAAAUGUGGACCGAGUCAGCUAAGAUGGUCACUGCAGUUCAAGGAGGUCAAGAUCGUCGACUUAAGUCACCGUUCCUGACCAAAAAGGAUGACCCAGUCACCUAUCAGCUCCUGUUUGGAACCAUGCCCCUAAAACCGAUAUACAUUCAGCUCCAGAUGGCAGAUCAGAUAUUCUGAAAGGUUAUUGUCAUGGGAGAAGACGAGUACGAUCCACCCAUCAUCCUUGGGAGACCGUUCCUCAGCACCGUUAAAGCAAUCAUCUACAUUGGAACUGGAGAAGUCCACAUGUACUUCCCCUCUGAGAAGGUACGCCGCUAUUUUACUGACCUUAACUAUAUAGUUGAAGACUCUAAGCAGGUCAGGACAAGAAGAAGACGACGCAACCACAACUAGAGGAGGCAAAUCAUCAAGGAUGGAUGGGUAGACUAUGAAGGAGAAGUUGUAAGGUCUGAAGCCAUACAACUUGAACAGAACUAUCCUGAGGAGACCGUUGUUGACGGUCCUUAAGUACUAAAAUUAAUAAUCAAAUAAACAUGAAAAAGGAUCAAUAUGAAACAAACAUCUAGAAUUAGGGUUUUAUCUGACAGAAUUCCACGAGCUUUGGUGUUUAUCUAUUUCUGCAGGGGUUUAUCAGAAAAUAUGGAGAGAAGGCCCACAUGUCAUGUUUACAACGAGAUAAUUACGUGCCGCGCAAUUUUCCUCAAUCUAGAAGGAUCCAGAAGCCACGGGAACGAACGGGAAGCGAUUCGGGCUCGGGGGCAGGGCGCCCGCCCACCCCCCUUGGGCGCCCGCCCAGGGUUGGAGGCCAAAUAGGACUCUGCUUCGGGGCAAGACUCCACCGAUCUAAAGGAUCAAUCUAAACCAUACAAUCUAUGUCGGUUUGAUCCAAUGGCUCACGUUCACUUGAGGGGACUAUAAAACCAGACCCCCUAGCCCCUGGAGGAGAGGAGGAGAAAUCAUUAUUCAGAGGUAGCCAUCAAAGUUAGGGUUUAGAGCUUCUCUCCCACAGAGAAUUAGAAUUAGCUACUCCCUAAUCCUUCAAGUUUAGAGGUUUGAUUAGAUAGCAAUUAGAGAAGUAGAGCACUACGCUCUGGAUUCGGAUCUUCGGUAAUAAAGAUUGGUAUUAUUCAUAUCUUUCUCUAAUUCUAUUGUUCUAAUUGCAUUAUGUCUCUAAUUAUUAUGAUCUUAGUUUGCUCUAGUUCUAUAUUUGAUAUAGUUCUAAUUGAUAAUGAGUUUAUGUAUAAGUUUGCAAAGCGCUUAGCUCUUGACGCGAGGGAGUUAGGUGAUAGAUCACAUGUAAGCGUGGUGCUUAGAUGUUAUUUAUCUGUAAAUGUAUCCUAUUGGCCGGGUCGUGUGGUAGUUCGCGAUAGUGACAGCUUCGUUGAUUCUUAUAUAGUCCACCCUCCGUUGAUAGGACAGGCAGAUCCGGUAUUGUGGAGUAAGUCAUGCGAUGUUCUGAUUUACUUUAUCAAUGUUCCUUAUACAUGAAUGAAGAGUCUUUUAUGCUAUAUAUGAUCUUGUAGAUAACUAGAGUAGAUUAUGACUUAGUAGUUAAUAGAUAACUUAGAAUCCAUUCUCUAGCUAAUCCGACAUCACCUACAUAUAUGAGGAGUAGUCUAUUUUCUAAUCGUUGUGUCAUCUAUCCCAUGAACUUAUAAUUCAUUAUCAUUAUCUUUAUGGUUUACCCCCUGCUAAAGUAAGUGACUGUGUGACGAGUUUCUCAUUAGUAAUCAUGUUCUUGUAUGUUUAUCUCUAGUCUAUGCCUUAAUAGAUUUUGCCCCCUUGAUUUAAUUCCUUCUUCUUGAGAUCCCUUGAGCAAAAUUAUAAAUAACGAUACCUGGAAUACUUAUCCUGGUGAAAUGCUACAAUGAGGUGUUUUAUCUGUGCGCUUGGGGAUAGAAUAGAUUAUUUUCUAGAGAGCCUUUACAUUUAUAAAUACCUUUGUACACUCUGGCGCCAUGCUAGGGAUGACAACCUAGUAUCUAAGUGGUGUUAGCUAGUGUCAACAAGCAUUUCUGGCGCCGUUGCCGGGGAAUUAUAGGAAUUAUACGAGUCUUAGGAAUAAGUCAAAAAAAGGGAACAAAAGGGUAAUAUUAAGGAAAGCCAGAAAAUCGGUCAAGGUUAUUCAUAUAAAAUAUUAGACUAGACUAUAGAGAAAUAAUUGCAUAAAACAGUUACUAAGUGAGAAAUCAUAACAAGGCACCGCUGCUUUGGCAGGUUCACCCUGUUGUUUUUCUAUGUUUAUAUUUUUAUAUAGGGUAUAACAGGAUUGACUUUGGGUACAUUCAACUCUUCAUCAUCAGAACCAAAGCAAUCAAGAGAAGAAGAAGCUAGCUACCAAUUGCUGAAGCUAUGGCACACAAGACCUUGCAAGAAUUCUCUGCUCCAAGCCUUGAGAACAUUCUAACUGGUCCAAGAUUUGCAGUAGAAGAAGGAAUACCUGAGUUUGAGCUCAAGUCAAGCCUCAUCAAUUUGGUGCAAGCUACACAAUUCAGUGGAAAGGCACAUGAAGAUGCCAGUGCACACUUGCAGAAUUUUCUAGAGAUUGGGAGCACAAUCCACAUCAAUGGAGUUGACAAAGACGUCAUACUGCUUCGCCUUUUUCCAUUCUCACAAGAAGGAAAAGCGAGGAAGUGGUUCUACACUCAUCAAGAUAAUAUCAACAACUGGACGAACUUGUCAGAUGCCUUUCUAUCAAAGUUUUUCCCUAUAGGCAAAACAACUGCCUUAAGAGGAAAUAUUGUCAGUUUCCAACAACAGAAGACAGAAGCCAUUUCAGAAGCAUGGGAGCGUUUUCAAGGAUAUAUAUCAGAUUGUCCUCACCAUGGAAUGGCCACAUGGUUACUUAUGCAGACCUUCUACCAUGGAUUAACCCAGAAGACUCGUGAGUGCCUAGAUGCAUCUGCUAAAGGAUCAUUCUUGGAGCUUACAACUGGAAAAGCAGAGAUACUUUUGGAUAAGAUAGCAGAAAACCAAAGCUGGUUCCAAGAUAAAGCUCAACAAUGUCAUCAAACUGAAGAAAUACCAGAAGAAGUAAAUGCAUUAUCAACUAAGAUGGAAAAUUUGCUCCAUUGGAUUGACCAAAGGGCCAAGUUCAAAGAAGAUCAAAGGGCCAUUGAGACAGCAUACAAAUAUCAACCAACUUCAAGUCAACCCAAUAGCAAAGGUAUGAAUUCAGGUAAUACUUUCAAGCAACUUUCAUUAAAAGAGAUAAUUGCUCAACAAACUAAAAUUAAUAAUGAAGUUAAACAAAGGCUAGAUACAAACGAAUCAUCUCUAAAAGUUAUACAUAAUAAAAUGGACUGCCUGUUGCUACAAACGAAUCAUCUCUAAAAGUUAUACAAAACACUCUUAAUAAAAGGGUAGAGCUUAAAUUAAUAAAGUUAGCUGCUGCACUGCGUGUUGCUACUAACCUUGAGCAGGUAAAGAAUAUAACUACUAGAGGAGGUAAAGCCACCAGAGAUCCACCAUACCCAAAAGAGAAACAAAGAACAUCAGCACCAGUGCAACCAGCAGUGAUAGAAGAAGAAAGCCCAGUUGAAGCAGAAGAUCUGCUACAACCACCAAGAACUGGAGAAAUGAGGAAAGAUUUUUACGACACCAACUAUUUGCCAUUUCCCAGAAGAAACAGAGGACUGCAGUCGGAUGAGCAGUUUGGUAAGUUUGUAGAGGUCAUUCAGAAAUUAUAUGUCAACAUACCUCUGCUCGAUGCCAUAUAGGUACCUACAUAUGCAAAGUACAUCAGAGAUAUUCUUAACAAGAAGAGACCACUGCCCACCACUGAGGUUAUCAAGCUGACAGAAGAAUGUAGUGCGGCCAUCCUUAACAAACCACCAAAGAAGAAGGAAGAUCCAGGAUGCCCCACUAUUGAUUGCUCGAUCGGAAACCAACACUUCAACAAUGCACUUUGUGAUCUCGGAGCAAGUGUCAGUGUGAUGCCAGCAUCAGUCUACAAAAAGCUUGAUCAUGCGACCCUAGAACCAACAUCAAUGUGCCUACAACUAGCGGAUCAAUCGGUUCGACACCCGUUGGGCAUCGCCGAGAACAUUCCAGUCAAGAUCAGAGAUUUCCUGGUGCCAGUAGACUUCGUAGUACUGGACAUGAGUCCUGACUCAAAAGUGUCCAUCAUCCUUGGAAGGCCAUUUCUGAGCACUGCCAAUGCCCACAUUGAUGUCGGAAAAGGAGAAAUCAAGUUCAACAUAAACGGUCAAGAAGAACACUUCACAUUCAAACCCAGACCAGAGAGAGACUCUACAGUAAAGGAAGUUCAUGAAGAACCACUGGAGACACCAUCUCUGGAGGAAGGAAACUCAGAAGAUUGAAAGAUUUGGAGGUCCAGCUUGGGGGACCUAAAAAUCCCAAACCCUCACCGGGUGGUAAAUCGGUAUUUAUCCGCAUUAUUAAUUUUCUCAUAUUUAAAUUCUUGCAUAAUUAAUUCUUGCAUUAGUCAUAUAUAUUCAUAGCAUGAUUAUAAUAAUCAAAAAGCCCCAUAUAAAUAAUAUUCAUGGCGUGUAACAACCCAUAUUUAUUAAUUAUUGUGGAGGCACAAAAAAAUAUUUUCCAUUAUCAUUUUAAUUAAGUUUCAAUUCUCAUAGAUUUUUCCUGCAUUAUAUUUUUCUUCUAGAAGCAUGACCCACACUCCUUGGGUCCCACAUGUCAUACACUUCACCUCACAUACAUCCCAUCAUAUAAUUUCAUCCACCAAUAUGUUUCCACUCACCUGACAUCUUUCCACCGUCCAACCACUACCAACACAACAUUAUUCUGCGUGAGAUCAAAGCAAGGAAGCAAGUGGAGGAGGCACACCCAGGAUGGGCAUCACAAGUGGGCGCCCGCCCACCUACCAAGGGCGCCCGCCCUGUCCCCUUUUCCUCCUAUAAAAGGCCACCUCCAGCUCCCCUUCUCUUCACACAAACACUCCAGAAAACCACACAAGCUUCAGUUUCCCGAGAAGGAGAUCUUGUAGUGAAGAGAAGAGAGUAGAGAGAAAGAGGAGAGUGGAAGGGAAGGUUGGAGUUCUUAUGAGAGAGUGAUUAUCACCUAGCAAGUAGUGAUCCCGUUGUCUAAGCGGAAGUAAAAAGUUGUUUAGGGGGAGGCUCUACCAAAAUAGAAACUUGUCUUGAACGAUUAACCCCUGGACUACUGACACUCUGGACAGCUGACCACUAACAUUUUAUCUCACAUUUUCCACUAGUUGUGUUUUUGCCAACUUUUGUUUGCAGGAUGUUUAAGAAGGUGAAGAAUGCAGGGAAGGCUCUCAAGAAUAUUGGUACAAGGAGUUCAACCCGACACUCCUCACAACCAUCAGAGAUGAGCGUCGACCCGACACCCACACAAGCUCCAUCAUCUUCAUCAGGUCAGCAAGUUAAGGUCCUUCUCAAGAUAGGAGACCUUGGACUGAAGACCCGAAGAGAGAAGGAAGUAUAUCAGCAAUUAAAGAACAAAGAUUUCAUUCACACCCCUACUAUCGAUCCAAUCCUACUACAAGAAACAGGUAUGGACACUGAAUUUGACUUAAUUUUUCAGAUGAUGGGUUGGACAAAUUUUUGGAAUAUAACUGAGCUGGGUUCUCGUCUUCUCACCCUCGAAUUUCUUUGCACUUUACAAUACUAUGAGGGGGAAUUGUUUUUCGGAUGUUCAAACAAGAAAUUAUGUUGUCUUGGAGAGAGCUAAGUGAUCAUCUUGGUUUCUCUUCAAGAUGCAUCCUAAACAUUGACUCCGAUUUACCCAACUUUGAGAGACACCAGUUUUGGAGAGAAAUAUCUAGAGAUAAUUUUUACAGUCAAGCCCGAACCACUGACAGGAACACCCCACUCUUAGGAUGUUCCACAAAUGGCUUGGGUACAAUCUUUUCUAUCGUGACGAUAUUGAGAAAGUAAGAGUAGGAGAUUUACAACUUUUAUAUGCUGCUAUUAGUAAAGUACCUACUUCACCUGUUACACUAUUAGUUUCACAUUGGCUUAGUAUACCUAGUCUGCAGGGACUAGUAGGAUGUACUUCACUUAUCACUCAUCUAGCCACUAAUCUUCACUUACUAGAAAACUCGUCACUGGACUUCAUAGAAGAAUUAAGAAUUUAUCAUGGCUAUGACACAUUUAGACAAGCUCGGAUGUUAAAGAAAGAGGGGAAUAUAAUGUAUAUGCUAUAUGAUGAUAAAGGCAAGAUUCGGUUACCUAACCCGAACCUUGGCCUCUACGUUGUUCAAAACUUUUUGAUUGAGAUUGCAGCAACACCAGUGAACCAGAGAACUCCACAGCGAGUGGCAUCUGAAAGGAUAACCACUCACCGAGAACGCACUUGGUAUGGAGCUGACCCAGGACCAGAAGAAGCAGCGCACCUGCAUUAUUGCGAUUACAACCCUCGAGUCCUUCGAGACCCAUGGGCUCGUCAUGCGCAACCACAAGAGCCAACAGAAGAGACAUGGCCGGAGAGCCAAGAUCACCAAUGGACAAACCCGCCUUUUCAUACGGGCAGGUACUCCACUGAUCCAUAUGGAGCUUCAGGAUCCAGACCUCCGCCCCAAUUUGAUGUAGGACGAUACUCCGAUGCCUCCUACGCCUUCACAAAUGACUACUAUCAAGAGGCCGGUGCUUUCUUCACUCGUACCGACAACACCCUCCUCGACAUCCAGAACACGCAAGCAGAACAUGGAAGACUCCUGGAAGAACAACAAAAAUGGAACCAGGACCAUGCCGCUGCAGUAGAAGAGCUGAGACAAGAUACAACAACAAUGAACGACAACAUCACAACCAUGAUGAGGUUCUGGAACAUCGGGUAAGACCGACGGCAACAUCCAGCUUGGGGGAGUUCCUCCCAAAUUUAUCAAGUAAGUUUUUAUUUGCUCUUCUUAUUUAUUCUAUUCUAUUUUAGUAUUUUAUCUUAAAAGGAAAAACUUAGAAAACCAAAUAAAUAUUUUCUUGUUUUUAUUCACUGCACUUUAAUAAACAUGAAAACAAAAUAAAAAGAGUGUGUAGAUAAGUGUGCUUUAUUUUUCUGCUAAGUUUAAUCUCUAGAAAAAAAUAAAAAGACCAAAAAAAAAUAUGCAUGAUGGAAAUGAUGAACAGUUGCUCUGUUUGCUUACUUACAAGUACCUAGCUUUUAUAUUAGAGUUCUUCCAGGAAUUAUUAAAACUGAAAUUACUAUCUUUGGGAAGCAUAAAAACUAAAGUCUAGGUAAGAGAAAGGCAUGAUAUAAAGUUGAGCUACUGUUUAUCUUGUUCCUACUACACUAAGUUCUGAAGAUUUAUUUUGAAAACUUACAAAUCGCAUGAUAAGUUCCUAGCAUAACAAACUACCUACCACAGCCAUACUCGCUAUAACAUCUUUUACUAUAUUCACAUUGAGUUUGAUCAAGCUGUGUAGACCCUUAGGAGCUUUUCAUGUGGUUAAAUUAAGAUAUUCACUUGCACACAUCUACCACAGCAUUCAUCACCAAUCAUUAAAAUUGCUAAAAAUAUUUUCACUCACUGUCCCGAAUAUUGUUAUUCUCUCUCUAAAAAGAUUCAAUGCAGAAGAGGCAUGGGUUAUGCAAAAAUAUACGAGGAAAUAAAAAGGGGCAAGUGCCCGGAACCUCGAUAAAGAAAGAAAAAGAGUGAGACGAGAGGUAAAAAUGGACAAGUGUCCGAAGUAGAAUUAGGGGUACAAAGAUGCCCACUUGAGCGGAAAAAAAUGGAAAAGUGUCCGACAGUAGAAUUAGGGGUAUCUACUACCCACCUGAAAAAAAAGAGAUAGCCCAUGUUCUCCCAAAGCAAAGAUCAAAGAAGAGAAGAGAUAGCAAUAUGAGGAGCAAUGAGAAGUAAGUUAUCACUUAUGCAUUUUCAUCAUCACGAUCAUUUACUCCAUCAC